GAUUUAGCAAAUUUAAUAGAAUUAUUUAAAAUGGAAGGCAUUUCAGGGCUGCUUAUGAGGAGUUUGUCUCUCAAAAGAAUUUCUGCUAACCUUUGAGGAUAAGGAGCUGUUGGAAGAGCUCAAGGAUAAAGGUUGGGAUUGGCUUAACAAAUGGUUUACUAAGGUGGAAACAUAGUUAGAGAAUUUUUCAUCAAAACUCCUUAACAAGUGGGUGAUUGCACAGGAUAUCCUUUUGAUGUGUGAAAUAGGCAUAUUAUAAAUUAUAAGCUUUUAGGCCAAAUUCAUUAAAAGUGCCAUUCUAGACUAGGUUUUGGUUGUAGUGUCGUUCUCAAUCAUUUAAGUAAUUUAAAGACUUUGAAGAUUAUGCCUUAAAAUAGACAAGACUAAAGUUUUCAGGGUGUAUACCUCUGUUUUGGCAUGCACAUAUGUCUUUGAAUCUAUGAAGAAACCUGUUGUCAUCUUGGGACAUCCUUUUACACUGAAAUAAUGCAAAGCCGAUAAGACAAAGUGAUAUCCCCUUGGACAAAAGUCAACAAGGCUUGGCAGUUCUUUAAGUGAUAAUUCUCUUAAUUGAUCAAACUUUAUCUCCUUUUCAGUUGUCGCUUCUGCUUCAUCUUCAAGUUCAAAUACUUGCUCCAAUUUAGAGUUCCCUUCAACUUUUAACUCUUCAAGUUUUGGAAGACAACGAGCAGAUCCAAGAGGAAAGAGAUGUUUUAACUUUUUGCAAUAUUUAACAGAAAUUAUGGUCAAAUUAGGAAAGCUUAUAGGUUGGAGAUCAUCAUCUGAUGAUGAACAAACUUGAUCCUCAGCAAUGAUUUGGUCCAAUUCAUCACAAUUUUGUAUUUCUAGGUUGACCAACCGUGAUAAACUUCGAGCAAUUGUAGGUGAAAAUAUGUAUCUUAGCCUCUUGCAAUCAAUCACCUCCAGAAUUGUAAGGUUUUCAAGAGUUACAACUUGAGCGACAUCCUUCCAUAUAAUCUGCUCUUCAGAUAAGUCCUCCAGGUGGAGUUCCUUUAUACGCCCAUGAACUUGGAAUACUUCUUCAUGACUCCCAACUGCUAUAUAUUCUUGAUUGCAGUUGGCUGAAAUACGCAAUUGAAAGCUAUUUACCAACUCAGAGAGAUAUAAUUCCUGCAAAUACAGACACCACCAAAUGUCACUAAAUACGUUCCUUUUCUAUUAGAUUGGGAAUAGAUGAGCAAAUAGUACUCAUAAUUUUUUAGAUGCCAAUUCACAAGAAAUCCUUACAUUUUUAAUGAUAGGACAUAUAUAUGUUUCAAAAUUUAAAUCCAAAAUUUUCAUGAAAUGGUCUGAAAGUGGAAUCCAAAGACAUCUAACCUCUUUCAAGUUUUUCUCUGUUAAUUUUUAACAUAAAACCAUUUAUGGCUUUCCUUUUCUUGUGUUUUUUUCUUUGUCAUUUUUUCUUUAAGCAUGUUGAUUUGAAAAGUAUAGAUAAAGUGGUAAAGUGUUAAUUUUUUUUAAUUUACCUAAAUUACAUAAAAAAAAAAAACAUAAAAGAAAUGAACCCCCUGGAAAGCCUAACUUUCUCAAUCUGUUUCUCUUGUCUGCAACAGCAAGUAGAAACACUUUGAAUAAAAAAAAAAAAGGGAACUCAUGGCCAAGAAGAAAAAGAAAACUUAAAUUGAAGAAGAAAGAGAAAAUUCGAAUCAGAGAAAGCAAGAGAAACUAGAAUCGAAGAAGAAAAAGGAAGCUCGAACAAGAAAAAAAGCAAGAUUUGUCGUCUUGAAGAAAAUAUAUGAUGAACCUCAAUUCAGAAACAAGGACAAGGAAAACCCAAAGAUCCCCACAAACAAAUUAAAAUUUGUUUUUCAAAAUAAAUAGUAUAAAAUUUUUGUUCUGCAAUUUUAAAAAAUAAUUGGAUUAGUUUGUGAGUGUUGAAAAAAAGAUUUAGCUCAAAGGCAAAAUCCAAAACCAUAAUUGAAGGAAAAGUGUAUAGAGAAAUACCUCUAGCUGAAUUUGCUCAUUAACUUCUUUUUGAAUAGUGAAAUUUCUCAAUUUAGGACAGUUGCAAACUUUCAACUUCUCCAAGGAUGGUGAUGAGAUGAGAAAGUUUUCUGAACUCAAAUUUAUCAAGUUUACAAGUUGAAAAUCUUGUAGGCAAGGGAGUCCAAUGGCACAAUGAGCUGGCCCUUUCCAUAUGCUCUCUAAUGCUGGUAAUAACCGUAGCUUCAACCUUCUUAAAUUUGAGAGUGGUACUGCCUGAUUUACCUCACAUAAAAAAAAAUAUAAAAUUUAUUAAUUAAUAAAUAAUGAAAAUGAAUUCUUUAUACUUGAUCUUAAUUACUGAGAAGAAAUAUAUUUUGUUAAAAAAAAGUAGAAAGAAGUAUUAAAAGUUAAUAAUUUAGAAAGAUUAGAUAGUAAUUAUUUAUAUAUUUGAUAAUUAAAAAAAAUCAUUAGAAAAACAAUAUACGAGACCAUUAUUAAAGGAAAAAUGAAGAGAUAAGAGGUACCUCUAGCUCAGUCAUUUCUUUAUCAAAAGCAAAGACUUGCUUUAAUUUUUCGCAUUCAGAUAUCUCACACUUCUCUAGAUGCAACAGACUUUGAGCAAGGCAAGGUGAAAAGAUAGAUUUCAAUUUAUCACAACCAUAAACUAUUACUUCCUUUAGACUUUGUAGGCUUACAUGAUGAGUUGGCUCUUUCCAUAAACUCUUCAAUGUUGGCAAUGACGUAAGCUCCAAAUAAGUUAAAUUUGACAAUGGUUGUACCUGAUUUUCCUGACAUAAAGGAAAAUAUAUAAUUUUUUAAUUAAUAAAUAUUGAAAUAUGAAUUCAUUGUACUUAAAUAUUGAGAAGGCAUAUAUUUUAAAAAAAUUAUAAAUAAUAUGUAUUUAAAAGUUAAUAAUUUAGAAAGAUUAGAUAGUAAUUAUUUAAAUAUUAAAUAAUUCAAUAAAAUGAAAGAUAAUUAGACAAAGAAUAUAUGAGAGCAUUAUUAAAGGAAAAAUGGAGAGAUAAGAGGUACCUCUAGGUCUACCAUUUCUUUGUCAAAAGCAAAGACUUGCUUUAAUUUUUCGCAUUCAGAUAUAUUAAGUGUUUCUAGAUGCAACAGACUUUGAGCAAGGCAAGGUGAGAAGAUAGAUUUCAGUUUAUCACAACCAUGAAUUGUUACUUCCUUCAGACUUUGUAACCUUACAUGAUGAGUUGGCUCUUUCCAUAUAUUCUCUAAUGCUGGCAAUGACGUCAGCUCCAAACUUCUUAAACUGGAGAUUGUGCGCGUCGGACUUUCUUCCUUUCCAAAAAGCCAAUUCAUUUGAAACACUGAUUGCAACUGCUUACAAUCGACAAUGUGCAAUGUUUCUAACCUUUUUAAGAAGCUAAUCGAUGAUUGACCAUGGCACAACUCUUUCAAAGAAGUCAUGAAUGUAAUGUCUAACUUCACCAAAUUAGAGAAUGCAGUGGUUGGACUUUGUUCUCGUGUUGUAUCGAACAAGCAUUCUAGAUUUUCACAAUAUACAAGCUCAAGAGAAGUUAAUUCCUUUAGUCCGCGCUGAUCUACAUUUGGGACAAUAUUUUUGUGUUCCAUGGUGACCUUGGACAAAGUAAGCUUCUCCACAUUGCAAAAUAGCUCCUUGAAUGCAUUUAAUGAGGAUGAGAAAUCCUUAAUUCUCAAGGUUCUCAAGCUCAGCCCCUCCAAAACUUCGAUACCUUCAUAAUAUUCACUUACAGCUAUAUUGUAGCUUUGUAGUUUAGGGAACACAAAGUUUUCUUGAGAACAUUGAUUAGUAGAAACUGUCAGUGCUAAUCCAGUCAAACCAGUCAAUGAAUUCAGCUCCAAUAAGUUAGCAUUGUUAUCACUUGUCAUGUGUAGCUCUUGGAGUGAGGUCAACCUGUUACAAACAAACACAAAAUGUAAUUAAUGCAAUAAUAGCACUUUCAACCGAAUGAUAAAAAUAGCAAGGUAAUGAAAUGAAUAAGAUAACAUAAACUUUUUUAUUUCUUCAUUCUUAAAGCUACUUUUGUACUACGGGUUGCAAUGUUUCAUAAUAAUAGCAGUGACCAAAAGCUCAUGCUAGAUAUAUAUAUGUUUGUGAUAGUCAAAUCAAAUAAAGUAAAUAAUAGAGAAAAAAGAUAAAAUAAAUUAUAUAAAAUUAAAUAACUGAAAACAAUAAGAUAAACAGUUUUACCUUGGUAGCAAGUUAGGGGGGAAAUAACAGUAUGGCCCUUCAUCGUAAGAAAAAUAUAGUGAUUUUAGUUUAUGCAAUCCCACUAAUUCUUCUGGUAGCUCAUAAAUAUUAGUCUCCAGCAAUGCAAAAAUCUCAAGGUUUUCCAGAUUCCUCAAUGAUGAGAUGUUCUCAAGCUCACAAUUUAUAAUGCACAGAGUUCGAAGGUUUGUCAAGAAUUGAAGUGCUUUGAGUGCGAGUACCACAUCUUGAAGAAGUAAAACUUGGAGGGUUGUCAUUCUUUCAAAAAAUGCACACGAAACUCUCAGUGAAUUGUUUCCUGUGAGAAACAAAGUCUUGAGUUUUGAAAAUUUCACUUUGUUAGGAAGAUGAUUGAUCUCAAUGUUCCAUAAGGAGAUUGCCGUAUAACAUCCAAACCUUUCACUCAUAGGCCAUUCCGUCAACCAAUCUUUUACCAUGAAUAUGUUUUCCCCUCUCGAUGUUAUCCAAUGAGCAAAAUCACGAACCACAUCAUGCAUUUUUAUAUGUUCUUUAUCAUUAGCUUCCAAUAAUAAACCAGACUUUUGGAGUUUUGACAGUGCUAGAUGAAUUUCCCUCCUUAAGUCUUCCAUGAAGUAAUUAUUAUUAAACAAUCCCUGACCAAUUCCACAUAUAGUCAACAAUUCAAUACUAAUCUCAUAAUCUUCCGGAAAAAGGGCACACAACAAGAAACAUUGCUUGAUAUUAUCUUGAUCCAAAUAAUCAUAACUAAGCUCAAGGCAUGUAUAAAUACCUCCACAAACAUGUUGAUUAUCCAAAUGCCUUGAGCUCUUGAGUCGUUUAUUUGCUGCUAUCCACGCAUCUAGACUUUCACCUUUUAGAGCCUUUGCCACAGUUACAAUUGCAAGAGGCAAACAGCCACAUUCAGGAGCAACCUCCUUCGCUACAUUCAAGGUGGGAGAGUCAUCUUUCAGACCAGCUUUGUCUUUGAAUAAAACCCAUGCUUCAUGUUCAGAUAAAAUGUUCAGCUUAAAUUCCUCUUCACAAUCCAUUUUACAACAAACUUGUUGAUCACGUGUAGUUAAAAGAAUUUUGCAACCCUCGUGUUCACCACCGAAUGGAAUUCCUAUAAUUUGCAAUUCAAGUUCUUUCCAAACAUCAUCGAGAAUUAUGAGAAUCUUCUUCUCACUUUUUAAUCUCCGCCAUAACUCUUCUGCUUUUCCUUUUUCUGUACUUGCUUUAAAGUUAAAAUGUAAGAUUUCGGCAAUUCUGUCUUGAAUUUUGUUGAAGUUCGGAGUUUGGGACACUGUAACAAUCACAACUUUAUCAAAGAGCUUUUGUUCCGUAGCUUGCUUCCCCACUACUUCCGCCAAAGUUGUUUUACCCACUCCUGGCAUUCCAUGCAAUCCAAUCAUGUUCACACCAUCACUUUUUAAAGCCUCCAUAAUCCCACUGAAAGCUAACAUUGAAGAUUCGGAACGCAUGAAAUCCUUGGGUACUAUGAACUCUAUUCCUUGAAGAGGAGGACGCUGGCCGACUCGUGAAAAGUUACAAGUCUCUAAAAGCUUAGAGAUAUCAAGUGUCUUCUUCUCUACUUCCUUACUUAAAGAGGAUCUCCAGCUCAUACCAGACAGCCAUUUGGAACGCUUGUUACUUUCUAUUUUAUCUGACAAAUUCUGCACAUCUUUCAGUUCUUGUCUUGCCUUCGUUAGCCAUUCCUCAACGUCAUGAUUAAUUACCUCAGUUUGCCUUUCGGCUUCAUUCACGUCAUUCUGUACCUUAUCGAUUGCAAGUAUAAGUUGUUCCCUCUUUGCAUUGAAAUCUUCAAUAAUUUCAUCAAAACCGAAAAUAGGUUUUCCCAAUUUCCCUGCCAAUUUUUUCAGAGCAUUUGUAGUGAUAUUGGCAGCGACAUUGGAAAACACAGAGGUUGCAAAUUCAGCAGGACUGGUUUCCUUAGUAUCCAUUCACUGAUUAUCUGAGGUUGAAGAACAGGUUUGUUUGAGCAAAAGUAGUAACAGAGAGACAAAAGAAAUUAUUAAAAAUUUCAUUUUGUAAUAUAUAAAAGUAAAAAAAAAAUCAAAAAAAGAAAGAAAAUUGCAAAAAUCAACUUCUACAAAGCUAUAUUGGAAGCUAUGUUCUUUAGUUAUUAAAUAUUAAUGCAUUACAAAAUUGACUAAUAAUGACAAAAUUUCAUAGUUGAAAAUUUGCAGUGGAUUUGGUUGACUAAUAACUACUACUAAUUAUUAAGAAACUGUUUCCCCUAAACCCAAGAGAUCAGCUCACAGAAAAAUAAAAUAAAAUGCAAAUAUCUGUCAAGCUAAGAUGAAAAGAAUAGCUUAAUUUGAAAAUAGAAAAUAUCAGCCAAAGCAUCUGAACUCGAAAAUAUAUACUCAACUGUAAAACCAAGAAGAGGAUGAAGAUUUACAUACCAAGGAAAUAUAUGUGAACUUUGAGGAGCCAAGACAGAGCUUCAUAUAUUUCAGACACUAACAAAGUCGGUGAAGGUUUUUUUUUUCUUUUUUUUUUUGACAAAUAAAUUAUUUAUACUCAUAAGGACAUAUUUACGAAAUAAUAGUGACUAAAUUUCAUAGUUGAAAUUUGUCAGUGGAUUUGCUUAACUACUAGUAGGAAUCAGUUUUCUUGUGGAUUCCAAAUAGUAAAGUACCGAAAAAUCAAAUAUCUACUCAAAUGUAAAAUCAAGACAACUAAACCGCCAAAGAGACAGAUGAAAAUUUACAUACCAAGGAAAUCUAUAGAUGAACUCAGGGGAGCCAAGACGGGCUUCUGUUUUGAUCCAGGCAAUCUCACAAGGUCGUUGAAGUUUUUUUCUUUGUUUUUUUAUUUUUUUUUGUGUUCAAAGAAAACUGAAGUUGAAAUAAACUUUGCACUGCAAUGAUGAGAAGGCCAAGGAAUUAAUAAAUAACAGACUUACACUUGUCUUCUUUUUAAUGCGUAUAGAUAAUUCUGCUUCUGGAAGGUACUGAAAUCCUUUCUUGAAACUUACCACUCUGUUCUCACUACUUGAAUGUGAAAGGGUAAGAGACAAAUACAAGUUUCUAGCUCUCUGCUUCACACAAAUGCCAUGAGUGGAUUGUAACUGUAGACGAUCAAAACUGUUAAUUUGGCCACACAAAAUAAUUCAGUGCCAAUUUUGCAUGUAAAGAUUGCAGAUGUAUUCUCAAAUGCAUAAACCAUAGAAGAAAAUGAUGCACAUAUAUACCAAGGAAACAUGAAGUUUGAGGACCCAAGGCCAAGCUUUUCUCUAUUGAUCAAAGAAAACUCAAGUAGAAAUCAAGUUUGCACUAUAAUAACCAAAAGCCCACUAGCAGAGGGAAUUAAUAAACAACAAAUAUCUGUCAAUCUAAGAUCAAAAGAACAACUUAAUUUGAAAAUAGAAAACAUGUGUCAAAGCAUCUAAACUUGCAAAUAUCUAUACUCAAAUGUAAAACCACAGAAGAAGAGGAUGAACAUUUACAUACCAAAGGAGUAAUACAUGAACUUUAAGGGGCCAUGACAGAGCUUCUAUUUUGAUCCAGCCAAAAUAUAUUACAGAAACUGACAAAGUCGGUGAAGGGUUUUUUUUUUCUUUUUUUGAGUUCAAAGAAAACUGAAGUUGAUAUAAUAAACUUUGCACUGCAAUGAUCGGAAGGCCAGGAAAUUAAAACAACAAAAAGACUUUCACUUAUAAUUCUGUUUCUGAUAACAAAAACAGUAGUUGAACAUAGAAAGUAGAAACUCUUAAGGCAAAGACUUGUUUUCUUUGGAGUCGUGGAGAUACUCUGCUGGUUGGCUUUCCAGGAAGUGUUAUUGGAACAGACCACCUUCAACUUGCAUAUUGAUGUUAUUGGAACAAAGUGGAAACUUUAAAAAACGGGUGAGCAUUAUGGUAAGUCUAACCUUAUUGUAUGGUCAAUAAAUAUAAUUAAAAAAAAUAAUAAAAAUUUGUUUGAUAGUUUAACAAGUAAACUAUAUACUUAAUUUUUAAGCAUAUCCAUUUUAUUUUAUGUUAAUAACAUAGAUCAUUUUUAAAUUUAUUUAUUUUUUAAAUAUCAUUUAAUUUUAAUUUUAUUUUUAUCUUAAAAUAUAUGAAUAUUUUUAUUUUUAAUAAUAACAUUAUUUCUAAAUAAUUUAAUUCAAUCAAAAUUUUUUUUUUUCUCAAUUAAGCUUGUUAUCAUGGUAGGUUACGUUAAAUCUUACAUAGUUACAUCAAUAUUUAAACAAUUUUUGUUCCACUUUUAUGAUUUUUUAUGUUAAUUCUUAUAUAUUUGCGUUAAGAUUUUUUAAUUGUUAAUUUUUACUAUAAUUAUUUUUAUCCUUAUUAUUAUUCAUUUAUAAAUUAAAAUUUAAAUAUUUAAUUUUUAUAAAUAUUAUAUUUAUUUUAACUUAAUUGAUUUAUUUUGUUAAAUUUUAUAUAUUUAUAUUAAUAUUUUAAUAACAAUUAUUCCACUUGCAUAAUUUUUUACUUUAAUUUUUAUAGAUUUACGUCAUACCUUUUCCUUUUUUUUUUAAUUGAACAUAUUGUCUCCUAUGAUUUCAAUAUAUUGAAUCUGUAUAAAUCACUAGUUGCAAACAAAAAAAAAAAAAGAUCUCCAAGCUUUCUUUUUUCUUUUUUCCUUUUCCUAAAUUUGGAACAAUAGAGAGUCGACUCCUAAUUCUUUGAACAACAGCUACAUAGAUCAAUUACUGAGUGUCUAAGUCAAAUGCUUGGGUGCAUCCACAAACUUCUGUUGAAUUACUUUAAUAAAACUUAAGUUAAUUUCUCUAAAAAUUUACCAUGAUUCAAACGUAAGUUCACACCUUCUAUUUAUAUUAAUUUCUUUAAUAUAACCUUUUAUUACGUAAGUUCAGACUUUCACUUAUCUUCUUUGGAAUGCAUGCAGAUUAUAAUUCUGCUUCUGAUAACAAAAACUGUAAUUGAAUAUAGAAAGUAGAAACUCUAAGGCAAAUUAAGACUUCUUUUCUUUUGAAUCUCUUUUUCUUUUUAUUGUUACUAAUUUUUCUUAUUCAUAUCCUUAGUGAAUGACAAGGGCCCCAACAUCUUAUGCCUUAUCAUUGACCAAUUCUCUCACAAAAAGACUGGAAAAAAAAAAGUAAAGAAUGGAGUCAUGAAAACUCUCUGCUAAGGACACUGGUUUUUUUUUUUCUUAUAAUUGGGGAGGGGGGAUUCGAACUUUACUUUUUAAGUAGGGAGAUUACACACCAACUAAUAAAUCAAAUGUUCGGGUGCAGCUGAGGACCUUGGUUACCUUCCAGGAAGUUUUAUGAAAACUAGAGGAUGGGCUUGCGAGGAUGUCAAUGUAUAGAAAAUUUUUGAAAUUCUGCUUCAAAUUCAUUGAAUGAAUAUAUUAAAAUGAAAAGCCAUAAACUUAUAUGUAUUAUAUGUGUGAAACUGAUGGCUUUUCCGUCACAUUUAACAAUAAAUUGAAGUGGAUCAAACCUUAAGCAGCUGAUUUUUGAAAAAGCAUUUGGUUAAUUCUCACUCAAAGACAAAAUAUUGAUGAAAGUCUAAUUAAUGCAAAAUUGACUUCAUCAGAAAAUCAUGCCUCCUCGUGGUUAAUUAAUGUAUCUGUCUGAUUAUUUCAUUGGGAGGGUAAAAUAAAAUGAAUGCCUCUUCUCCCGUCCUUCUCCUCUUCCCUAAAGAACAUGUGACAGUGGGUCCGCACUUUGAAUAUUGUGUGUAAUAGGGAAGAAAGAGGUUUGGUCAGUCGUCACCUAAUUCAUUAUCUCUGCUCUAAAGUUAACAAAGAAAUAUUAAUUUGGAAUUAGGACUCUUCUUAGCUCUUGCUUUCGAAAGAAUUAAGUCUAACACGAAAAUCUUAUUUAUCAAAGUAAAAGGGAGAUUCUUGGAAUUUUCCCAGAUAUUUUUGAUUCAUGGUGGAAUAUUUACGCCACAAAAUUUUUGAUUCUUGGAAUUUACUUUUAUUCUAAGGAUAAUUAAGUUCAUACCUUUCAUUUUUUCUUUGUGUAUAUAUGCAAAUGAGACACAAAAUUAUUGGUGGAAUUUUGAAUUAUUGAUGCCUUUCUUUUUGUCGUUUUUCAUUUAUUUUUCAGUAUUAAUAUCUGAUCUACUUGGUUAGUUUACAUGAAAAACACUUGACUCUCCUUUUAAAUAGAAACUACUAUUAUUAUCUCGUAAGUGUCUUUAAGAGUUAUCACUUUACCCUAAUUUAUAUUUCUGUAGCAAUUAAGCAUUACUUGGUAAAUUAUCUUCUAGAAAUGGGUAACGACCUACAUUUAGAAGCAUUUUGUGAACUUUUGCGGUGCUAAAUCAUCAUGGACAAAUUUUAGUGAACAAAAGAUUCUUCCCGCAGCAGCUUUCUAAUAAAUUCUUAUACAUGAUGUAAUCAUGAGUGUUGUUUCUUGAGCCGGAAAUGACUUUAUUUAUAGGGAUGAAUAGAAUAUAACAUAUCCAACUUUGAUAUUCAAAUAAUAGAACAAAGUCAAGACAAGAUAAGUGUUUUGCUUAAGAAAAAGAAGAAUAAAGGAAAGGAAGACAGAUAGGCCAAUUUGGAUUUAGUUGACUUAUAGUUACGAUGACUUGCACUCAAUCCUAUAGAUGGGCCAAAGAAAUUGAAUUACUUCAAUGAAGCAUAGAUUUCCCCUAAAUAAAAUUUACUUUUAUUCUAAGGAUAAUUAAGUUCAGACCUUUCAUUUUUUCUUUGUGUAUAUACGCAAAUGAGACACGAAAUCAUUGGUGGAAUUUGAAUUAUUGAUGCCUUUCUUUUUGUCAUUUUUAAUUUUUUUUUCAGCAUUAGUUUCUGACCUACUUGAUUGGUUUACACAGAAAACACUUGACUUUCCUUUUAAAUAGAAACUACUAUUAUUAUCUUGUAAAUGUCCUUAAGAGUUAUCACUUUUCCCCUGUUUAUAUUUCUUUAGCAAUUAAGCAUUACUUGGUAAAUUUUCUUCUAGAAAUGAGUAAGGACCUACAUUUAGAUGCAUUUUGUGAACUUGUUGUGGGGCUAAAUCAUCGUGGACAAAUUUUAGUGAACGAAAGAUUCUUCCUGCAGCAGCUUUCUAACAUAUUCUUAUACACGGUGUAAUGAUGAGUGUUGUUUCAUGGGCUGGUAAUCGCUUUAUUUAUGGGAAUGGAUAGAAAAAGAUAUGCGUUUUGCUUAAGAAAAAGAAGAAUAAAGGAAAGGCAGACAGAUAGGCCAAUUUGAAUUUGGUUGACUUAUAGUUAUGAUGACUUAUACUCGAUCCGAUAGAUGGGCCAAAGAAAAAAAGGGAGAAAAGGAUGGAGUUCAUGGAAAUGCUCUCGUAAGGACCCUGGUUGGCUUUCCAGGAAGUGUUAUGGCAAGAGGAUGGGACUUGCGAGGAUGUAAAUGUAUAGGAAAUUUUCCAACUGACCACAAUUGUUGAAAGUCUGCUUCAAAUCUCUGAGUGUUCUUUUUCUUUUUUUGUGCUCCUACGAAUUUAGAAGAAAAUCGAUACAUUAUUAUGAAGACUUCCUUGUUUAAUGUAGUCAUCAGUUUCACAAUUAGUUCAAUCUUUUUUACUGAAGCAUAUUUAUAGUAUAUUGUCCUUGUUUAAUAUACUUGUAUAAGGAUUAGUAUAAUUUAUGAAGGGAGCCUUGUGAUGAAUGGUGGUAGUUUAUCUGACCGCCUUCUGAUGCAUCUUUCUUUAUCAUGAAGGGAGCCUUCACAACCAAAUAAAGUGGGACAAAAAGAACAAGCAUUAUUAAUUUUAUGUUAACAAGUAGUAUAGCAUAUAACAAAUAAACAAAAAUCAGUGAUAGUACAGAGCACUGUUAUUUCUCUUCGUCCCCAAAUAGUUUCUCUAGUUCAGAAGCAACUUCUGCUGUGAUUAUUUAUAGUUUUGGCAGAGCAACACUAACUGGAAAGAGACUUUUCAGUUUAUUGCAGCCUCCAAUUCUGGUUUUAUUCAGUGCACAUAAACAUAGAGGUUGGAAUGAAUCCUUUGAUGAUGAUGAUCCAAUUCCAAGUGCAUGUAGAAAUGAUCCAAUCCCAUUUUAUAGUUCUUUUUACUAGAAUUUUCUUUUGAUAUAGAGUAAUCACUUAAUUUUUUAAAAUUCUUUUGGUGAACUUGUUGCAUGGCUAUACUACCAUGCCUAGAUCUUGUAGGUAGGAGUAGCAAUCAAACUUUUCAGUAUUUCAAUAAAUCACUCGAAAACUUCUCAAAAUAAAAAUCUGCCUGGUUUUAAUUUUUCAUGUCUUAAUUCCUACCUAACAUAUUUACACAACUUAUUCACCAAAAAUUUAAAAUACAAAAAAUAAGGAUAAGAAACAGAGAAAUUUCACUCUUGUUUUUCUACUUAUUGCACAUAUAGAGAGCAACAUAACAUUGAUUGGGUAAAUUAUUGAAUUCGAUUGAAAACUCCAUUAAGCAAACAUCUUUAACAGGUCAAAAAUUAUUUUUAAAAUUUUUGAUUUUGUAUAAUAUUUUAAAAAAUAAUGAUCAAAAUUGAGUUUAUUUUUAAUGAAAAAUAUCCAAUAGAUACAAACAAAAUGGGAUGGAGAUAGCAUGUAUUUGUAAUAAUAUUCGGUUCCGUUGAUGAAUAUUUUUGCUUUCUUUUCUUUUCUCUUUUUUGCAAAAAAAGAAUAGAAAGGAAAAGGAAAAAUAAAAAAAUAAAUAGCAAAAAAGAAGAGAUAAAAGUAUCAAACUGGUACGGAAUUUUAAAAAAUAGUCAUGUAAUAUGGAUAAUUAUGGAAAUAAAAUGUAUGCUAUGGUAAGAAAAGGAAAUUAAAUUGAACUUACUAAUUCUCUUGCUUUUGAGCCUUUUUUGUCUUUUGAUAGGGUUAGCUUUUUAGUCUCAUGGUUUAUGAUGCUACCAAUUUUUUUGAGUAGCAGAUCCGAUUUGGAAAUUGUACAGGAUCUCUUCACCCUCACCAGCAGUUUAUAUUAUGAGAGUCUUUUGCAAAUUAACUUGAGACUUGAAAUGACAUGUCAGGUGUUAAGAUAAAUAAAAUCCACUUUUCAAAAAAAAAAAAUCUAAUUCUAAGUGCAUGUAGAAAUGGUCCAAUCUCUUUUUAAAAUUCUUAUUGUAAGCAUUACUUGGUAAAAUUUUUUUCUAUCAAUGAGUAUUUACUUUAUUUUAAAUGCUUUUUAUGAACCUAUUGCCUGGCUAUACUACCAUGGUCAGAUCUUAUAAGUUGGAGUAACCAUCAAACUCUCAAUAUUUCAAUAAAUCACUUGAAACUUUUAUAAAAUAAAAAUCUACCUGCCUUGUAUAGGGAAAUUAAAGUUUAAUUUUCCAUGUCUUGAUUGCUGCAUAACAUAUUUGCAUAACCCUAAAUACAAAAAUAAAGAUAAGAAACAGAAGAAUUUCAAACUUGUUCUUCUGCUUAUUAUACAUAUAAAGAGUAACAUAACAUUGAUUGGGUAAAUUAAUGAAAGCAAGUGAUCCCUUCGCUUGACAACUCUAUGAAACCAACAUCCUGACCGACGAAAAGCACAAUAAUUUCAAGUAACUGUUUUUCUCUUCUUUUUUAUGUAAAUAAUAAAAGUUAGCACAAGUAAAUCACCAAAACUUGAUUAAGACUAGGCAAAUAGGUGAAAAAAAUGAAAAUGGAAAGCAACCUUUGCUUUACCAGUGUUUACUCAUUGAUGUUUAAAAAUACCUUUGCAACUUCCCCUGCAAUCAUCUCACCAUUCUUCCAUGUAAGGUGGCAGCUGAUAAUUAAUCCAACUUUCUCGGUACCAUUCUACGGUCUUGGUGUGGACUACAUUUUGAGCAGCGGCGGACCCUUCAGUGACGUCUUGCUUAACUAGUAGCGAUGCCUUUUUAAACAAUUGAAAAAGUGAAAUAUAAAAUAAAAGUAUUACUGCAGAAGGUAGGAAGGAACCAAAGUCAGCGUACCAGUUGGAACCCCAACCUGCCCCAGCGAAGCUUACGCCAGGUGGUUUGCCGACAGGGGUUACCAGCCCACCAUCACGGGGUACUCAGAGUGAAUCGUCAGGUGGACCGGGUUGCCCACUUAAUCAGAGCACAGGAGCCUGCAAAAACAAUAACCCACAAGGCAUGUCAAACUUGCCAUGGAAGUAAAACCUGCUUACAUUUUGUAGUCUUCAGCUAAUUGCGUGGUAGGCACGGGCUCUUGUGUUGUGUUAGUAUUCAUCAUAAGCAGGCAGGCUUCAGUUUGUAAUUUAAGCAUUGUGUAAGUGAAGUAGAAUUAUGCGUUAUCUUGUACUUUGUGACCCCGUUGCUAGAUAGCUAGAAAGGGCUACUUGGGCAGACGGCUGAGGGGAUGCUCUUUGCACUUGUAAGGUGAUGUUAGAAGUUUGAGAAAAGGGCCAUGCUCUUUGGUGUUUUAGACUGAGAUGGUGAGUUAGUUUGACUUCCUUGUCUUUGUUGUAGUUGCUUCUUUUGUUGCCCAUCAGAGUUAACUAGUGUAAUUUAUCUGUUUCUCCAUUCAUCAUUAUCAAGUUGAUAUUGAUGCUAGUUGAGCUCAGCUGGGUGUUUACUUAUAUGCGGACGAUGGGUGACGAUGCUUUCAAUGUUGAAUGCUAAUUUGCCACUAUUGAUCUCUCCACUCAGCUUUCGUAUGCAUUUCUGUAAGAGACAUCAUUAUUCCUAUAUCUGAUUGCCAUCCAACAUAAAAAAAAAAAAAAUCUCAUGUUAUGAGGGCAAAAGAAAAAAAUAUACAUAUUAUGAUUUAUAAGCAUUUUAAGCCAAAAUUCAUUCAAGUUGGAUUUAGAAAAUUUUUUUCUUUUAUUAAUUUUCGAUGAUUUAGAAAAGAGAGGUUUAGUAAUUUUCAAUAUUUGUGAAUUUUGGAAAGAUAAUGUUAAAAAAAUCAUUAGUAAAAUUAUGUUGCAAUUAGCUUUUACAUUUGUUUAAGAUAAUAAAUGCAUGCUGCCAAUAUAAAUGUUUUGUUAGGAAGUAACAGAAAAAAAUUAAGAAAAUACUUUGUGCUUUCCAUCAAUUUGUCAGCCUUGUCCAUCAAGUCCAAAACGGAAGCAAUGAGGGUGCGCAACUAGAGAACGGGGAAUGGACAGUGUGGGUUUCAAGAAGAGUUGUGUUCAUUGAAAUGAUAGAAAUUUUUGUAAGCGUAAGUAAAAUGAUAUAAGUGAAAACUUAAGCUCUCCAAGGUACAAUCGGCAUACCUUAUAAGACAUUGGAGGCUUGCAACUUGGAUGGGACUACUCAUAAAUCCCAAAGAAAGUACACAUAGCAGUCUAUGCAUCUAAUUACUCAUAAAUCAAAGGGAUUACUUUAAUAUUCGUUUGAUUUGGUUACAAAGGUCAAUUAACUUAUGACUUGACACGUAAAAAGUCGAAAGCUAACUUUUUCUAUUUUCAAAAAUUUAGAUUAGUUCAUAUCUUUUUAUUAUAUCUAAUUAAAUCUCUGAAUUGUUAUUUUUCACUAUAUAUUAAAAUAAUUUUAGAUGAAAUUCAUGGAUGACUAUUAAUCCCUUAACAUUUAUAAGGCAUGUGAAAAAUAUGAUGUCAUAAUAAAAUACUGGUUAUAUUUACUAAUUAGAUCAGUAAACUAUAUUUAUUUUACCAUGUCAUGUGUCCAUCAUUGCCGCAUCAUAUUUUCCACUUGUCCUACAAAUGCCAACAUUGUCACAUAAUAUUUCUCAUGUAUCCUAUAAAUGCCAACAUGACAAGGGAUUAAUGCGUCCAUGGAUUCUAUAUAUCCAAAUAAGGGAGAGUGUUUGGAUAGUGAAAUAUUAUAUUUUAGAGCUUAAUUAAACAGCUUUAAAAGUCUCUUGCGACAUAUAAUGUGAAACAUCCGCGGCCAAAUCCCCAACAAAGAUUGUGUAAUCAAGACCCUCAUCUUGCCUCUUUUCCCCGUAUCCAAGUGCCGCCCAAUUCAAUCUAAAAUUCUAUAAACAGAGGGAAGAGAAUCCAUAAUAAAUAAUAAAUAAUUUACAACCGUCAGAGCUAUAAUUUCUUACUCUAUCUCUUCAAAGUAAGAAAGUAACUCGAACAUCCUCAAAAAUUGUAUGAAAUUCCAACUACGUGAUGUCAAAGUUAUCAGUUUUAUAUCUCCUAUUUGACAUUUGCAUUGUAAUUUUGAAAGAAGUAUUAAAUAAAUGUAUAUAUCCAUUAGAUUUGUGUCAUUUUUUUUUAUGUUAAACUUGUAAUUUUUACAUCCAAAUGUUGAUAUCGUUUUUCCAAAAGUUACAUUUUUCUUAUUUAAAAGCCAUAAAUAAACAUAUAUAUAUAUAUAUCCAUUAGAUUUGUGCUAUUUUUUUCAUAUUAAACUUGUGAUUUUAACAUUCAAAUAUUGAUAUUGCUUUUUCAAAAAUUAUAUUUCUCUUGCUUAAAAGCCAUAAAAGCAUAUUGAGUUCGGCUAAGUUAAGGCCUAUACAUAUCAAGAAGAAGUGGGCUUUACCCCUGUAACAUGGCUAAUUUGAUGGAAAAAAAAAAAAAAGCUCAUUUUCAGAGCUACUAGUAAGUCCAAAUUUUUGUUUAAAAAAAAUCAUCCAUACGGUUGUAAAAUUAUAUCUUAAUUUCACCAUUUUACCAUAUUUGUAACAAUUUUGUAAUGUCAUGUCAAUAUUUAUUAUAAUUUAUUAAUAUAUCAUAUUGAUGUUAUCUGAUUUAAAAUAAUAAAUAAUAUUUCAAUUAUUAAUACUAAAAAUUUAUUUAAAUAUAAAUUAAAAUAAAUAAAAAUUUAUUUAAAAUUGUAAUACUAUAUAUGUCUAAAAUAUUAAAAAAAUAAACUAAAAUCUUAAAUUUCAAUCUUUUACAAUAAUUUAUCUUAAAACUAAAUUAAUAUAAAUUAUUAUUUUCUAGAGGUUUUUCUUUCUUGCAGAUUUUUUUUUGUUUUGCUGUUGACUUUGAUAAUUAUGAUUAGGAAGACGACAUUAACUUCUUCUUUUUUGUUUUUUUUUAUUAAGUAAUAUUAUUCUGUUUUUAAUAAGAUAUAUAUGAAUCAUUAUUGUUUAUGGAAUUAAUGAAAAAGAAAUUUUUUUGGCCUUCCCACUUUAUGGGUUGUGGGUCCCGCGCCCGUACGAGUGCGUUCAAACAAGCAUCGGCAGGGGCGUCAAAUAACCUGACGGUAUUCGCCCCCACCCCAAAUAAAAAUAAAAAAUAUAAAUAUAAAGUAAAUAAACAGCCCGAGACCCAGAGAAGUUACGGACCCGAAGCCUGAGAGGAGUCGAAAAAGGAAAAAGAAAUUGGUUAGUCUCCGUCGUUCCCUUCCAAACCUUAAAAAGUACAACUUUCCUGGCCUGCUCCGGAACUCUCUCGAACUUUCUCUAAUCUACCUAUUAUACCCUCCCACACUUUAUACUCCUAAGUUCUGUCUAUUAUGGCUGUACCUCUUGCAUUGUGAACAUCUCCAUGCUCGACUACCUUCACCAGCUGAUGGAAUCCUUUUCCUUCUAGGUCUUCCCGCUUGGCUUCACCAAGGUGGGGGCAAGACGAUAAUUUAUUUCACAUGAGGGGGGAUGUCCCACUCACUAGGAUGCCCUACAGGCCUAAUGGAUCAUGAAUAACCCUCCACCAAAACGGUUGUCUUAUAGUAGUCAAUGCAGAAUUCAAUGGCUUCACGAUUGCAUUUACUGAAAAAUACAAUAAACUCAAUCGUCAAGCACAAUGUAAAUGCUAUGUCAAUUACUGUUCAAAUAAGAAAUAAAGAUAUUCUGAUCUUAUUGCUGCAAUGGCAUGGCUGCAUGGCAUUAAAUCUGUUUAGAACUCACAAGAUGAACAUGUCUUCCUAAACAGGUUUAUAAGUCUGUCCAUCUUCCCGUCUUUAACUUCAAACUCCACUCGAUUGAUAGGCUUAACUAGAAAGCGAUGUGCAUCAUUGAACCGUUUGCUCAACUACCUGGCAACCCAAAGGCUGAAGGGCGUGGUCACCUUGACGGCUUCCUCGUACCUGUCAUGGAACCAAUGCUGGAACAUAUCUCUGAUGAACUCGAUCAAAACAGUGAUUGGCAUUUGUCUUGUAUGCUUCAAGCAUGAGUUAACACAUUUCGCAAUGUUGGAUGUCAUCAUUUGGUAUCGCCUUGCCGGUGAACAUGCACGUGCCCAUUUCUCAGGCCCUAUUCUCAUAAGGUCAGCGUGGGCUCCCGAGUGAAUCUGCUGUAGCUGGUUCAUAUGUCUAUUGAAAUCAGCCACUUUAUAGCAAUCUCGAACAAGGGUAAAAAGCAUACAAACAUCGUCGCGCUUGAACUUGUUUUUAAAGUUUUUUUCAAGUGGUAACCACAUAAACCAUGGUGCGCUUCUGGGUAUGCAUUUUGGAUUGCUUUCUUAAUGUCGAGAUGCUGAUAAAAAAUGAACAUAGUGUUUUCAGGACAACCAACCGCAUCACGCAGCUUGCUAAGACACCACGUCCACGAGUCUUCGUCUUUAACAUGGCCGAUGCCAAACGCAACUGGAAAUACGCACUUGUUCGCAUCUUUGCUUACAGCGACAAACAGAACACCCUUGAACUUGCCUUUCAGAUGUGUCGCAUCAAUUGCAACCGUAAGAAGCAUUACAUCCCUAAACCCCCGAAUACAAGCCCCGUAUGACCAGAAACAAUAUUUGAAUCUUUCUUCCUCAUUAGUAGCUACUACAGUCACUGUGCCAGGAUUUUCUUGUUUCAACAUAUAAAAAUAUGAGAGUAGUAGUUGAAAUGACUCCUCCGGUGGACCAAAAACAAGCCUCUCCGCAUACUCCUUCGCUUGCUAAGCCUUACCAUACAAGCAUUCCAAUCCCCACUGAACCCUCAUCUCACAAAUUAUGUCCUUAGGUCUCAAUGCUACUCCAUUAGCUCGAAGCUUGUGUGACAUAAGUUCACCAAUCAUCUUUGCACUCGUAGUUGAAAACCGCCCUUGCAAACCAUCAACGGUACAGGUGUGUACUUUGUGGAAUGUCCGAACUUGCCAAUAUUCUCCUAUAUCAGGUAACUUCGUUGCACGCACACUGAACUUGCAUGCCUUGUCCUUGCAACCAACCUCAUAACGAGCUUUACAUGACAUUUUUACUCUUAUCGCAAACUUCUCUUUUAUAACCAACAUGUUCAAAGCUCGUUUCAACUCAGCCUUUGAUGAAAACAUUUUUCCUUUGUAUAAGCGAUCUUCAGCACAUGUCGACUCCUUAGUGGUAAUUGUUUGGAAGGAGAACCUUUCUGCACCUGCAAUUACCCACGUACAAGAUAUCCCUGUAUUUUCCCUUUCUUGAUCACUGUCAUCGAGCAAUGCAUUAAGGGAACAAAUCCCGUUCUCACCAGUGAUGGGGUUAUUGUAUAUGGGGUCAUCACGCUAAACAUCUAGGACAUCAACACCUCCAACAGGUUCCGUUUUGCCUUCAACAUUAUUACGAAUUGGAAUGUCACUGUCACAAAGGCAGUCAUCGUCUGAAUUGUCAUCUUGCCAUUGUUCAAGCCCAUCAUUUGAAGUGUCAUCAAAUCUAUCUUCACCAGCAGUGAACAAAUCCUCAUUUCCCUCAUCAAAUGCAGUAUUAUCCUCUAGUGUCGUAGUGUCACCCUCCAACCUCACAUUGUUGUCCUUAAGUGUCGUAUUCUCAUUUAACAAUGGCAUUAUGCACUCUACAGUUUCACUUGAUCGUUGCAUUUGUUAGAGAAAAACAAGAAAUUGGUUUGAUGCACAUCCUGAUCGAAAUUGUGUAGCCAACUAUUCUGUGAAUGUCGUUUGUCUACCGGGCUGCAAAAGCUCUUGUGCAUACCUCAAUUGCCAUUGUUAUGGGUUCCGAAUCGAAUGCUGUGGUAUAUGUGAAGCAUUUUAAAUCUCAUUUUGAUUGAUCUGAUUACCAUGUUGUCCAACUUCUUCAUGUGACAUAACAUUUGUUCGGCGUCCCUUAAUGCUGACAUACACAGUCGAAACAUUCCUCUGUUCUAGCAGAAUUAAUGCAACAUCCUCAUCGUCCUUAAUAAUUGGCCGUGAUAGCUCUCCAGGCAUAUUGAUCAAUGCAUGUAACUCAAUCUUGUCAAUUUCUGAGUUUACCCCAAUAAAAUCUUCAACCAGCUUCAUCAAGCCCGCAAACGACAAAUCACUCCUAACCUCCCGCAUUCGUGACUCACCACCCUUGUAAAUGCCAUCCACCCACUGACCACCAUGUCUUAUCACAAGUCGCACAAUUGGAACCCCACUGAAAUUUUGAAAAAAAAAUAUUGUUAAUCAUUUUACACAAUACACGUCGUGAUAAAAAAUUUAUCAGUCGUGUUGUUACACGCCAUGCAUAUAACGUAAAAUAUUGUAACACAUCAUGCAUAUCAAAUCAAAUGUCGUGACACGUCAUGCAUCACUAUCGUGACAUGCCAAUCACAGUAAUUACUGACUCGUUACACCAACAACCAUGACACUGUAAAAACCCAAAAAACCAGUUUAUCCACAACACGCCAGGAACAACCGUGACACACCCAAAACCCAAAAAACCAGUUAACCCACGACACGCCAGGAAUAGCUGUGACAUGCCAAAAACCCAUAAAUUCAGUUGUCAUGCCAAGAACAAUUGUGACACGCAAAAAAUCCAUAAAUUCAGUUAACCCACGACACGCCAGGAACAACCGUGACAUGUUAAAAACCCAUAAAUUCAAUUAACCCACGACACGCCAGGAACAGCCGUGACACGCUAACAACCAAAAAAACUAGUUAACCCACAACACGCUAGGAAUAACCGUGACACGCUAAAAUAACGCUAACACAUGUUAUAGAUGCAUGGCGUGUAACAACUCUGGGCAAUGUUUCUAAUCUAACUUCUAAUUUACACCAAAUGUUUCAGAAAUUUAAGUGUGUUGCAAAAAUAAACCCAAUAACAGGUACCUUGAUGUCAUCUCUGCUAUAGGGUCCGUUAAUCUACGAUAAUGUGGCCAGAUGCCUAGAGAUAGACCAUAGCCGAUGACGAUGGUGCUCAAUAGAGAGUUCACAGAGCUUAUACAGUUCAGAGAUCUAAGAGAGUUGACGACGAUGGUGCUCAACAGAGACUUGCCAGAGUUGAGACAGUUCAAAGAGUUGAGAGAGAAAGAUGACCGAGCCUAAACAGCUGCGCGCAUUUAUUUUUAUUUUUUUCUAUUUUCUCUUUGGCAUGAGGCAUAUAGCUCAAACAAAUGAGCAUUUAUUUGAAACGAUGUUUUUAAGGGUAUUUUGGUCUACUCAUGCUUAUUUUUUGCUAGAAACAGAUAAUUUUAUAUGGAUAGUUAUUUCUAAAAUCACCUUAUCACAAGGUCCUUUUCUUACAAUUUUCUCUUUUUUUUUUUGCUAUCAUUUCUUGUCUUCUUUUUGCCUCAAAUGUUUUUUUUUUAAGUUCUCAUUAAUUAAGAAGAUACAGAUUACUACUUCCAAAAAAAAAAAAGAAGAUAAAGAUUACAAAUGGGACAUAGACAUCAUUGCUAUCAAAGCUUUUGAAUGAUUGAUAAAUGUCUUUUAGAUUUUUGUCAUUUUGCAAUCAUUUUUACCUUGGGAUCCAUUUAUUUCUGACUUUCUUGCUUGGUAGGUUUAAUGGCUUUCAUGGAAAAAUACUUGCCCUAUUUUUUUUUUUUUGGAUUAAAUUCUGUGUUUUAAGGGAUUGAAGCUUUACACUUCGUUUAACACAAGGAAAAAUGGCGAAAUACAUCAAACGAUUCAUAUAGUGCAAGGAUCAUGUUUUGCUUGAAGAGAAGUAGAAGGUCAAGGCACAUCUCUACUUUUUGAGCUAUCAUUUACAGAUCCUUAGGAACGUUUCCUCCAUGGCUGGUGAUCUAACACAAGAAAGAAGAUCAUCUAAGCCUAAAUUGUUCUAAUCAAAGCUAUUUCGAUUCAUUGAUCCCUCGAUUAUUGUUCUUUAUUUUUUUCAUUUUUCAAUCAAUUUUAUCUUGAGUUGAUGGCUUCCAAUUAUGUUGCCCCUUUUCGUAAUUUUCUGAACUACUUUGUUGGUUUAAUGGAUUUCAUGUAAAAACACUUGCACUAUUUAUUUCAAUUUUGGGUUUAACUUUUGUGAUCAAAUUAUGCCCCCAAUGGAUGUAAAAUUUAAUGAAAAAAUAAAUAAAUAAGGUUCAAGAUUCAAUUUCAUGUAUUGAAAGAAGUACAAAUAAAAAUAUAUAUAUUGAAAGAUGUAACUAAUUUAGAUUAUUUAAGGUGAAUAUUCUGGUUCGGCCAAAGAAAAAAAAGGCCUUAUUCUGUAAAUGUUUUAUAGUAGUUGUCUCUAAAUUUUCUAUUGUUCUUUGUAAGGGACUACAAUUAUUUGAUAGUUCUAUGAAUCUAGAUUUGUCAUAUAAAUUAAGGCAGAAUUCCCCCUACCCCUUAAAUUAAAUCCCUCAGCCAAAAGAAAAAAAAUCCAAAAGUUAAACUCUACAAAAUCUAUUUGUCAUUGGAAAAAAAGGAAAGCCCAAGAAAUGAUUUCUUGGGCUGGAAAUGGCUUUAUUUACGUGGAUGAAUAAAACACAACCCUUUCAACGUUCAUAUUCAAACGUUGUACAAUUAAUGGAAUACGUAUUUUGUUUAAAUAAAAAAAAGAAGAUUAAAAGAAAGGAAGGCAGAUACACCAAUUUGGAUUUGAAUGAUUUAUAAUUAUGAUGAUUUUCAUAUUCAUAUUCACUUUUGUUAAUAAAAAAGUUUUUGAAAAAGAAUUUUUAUAGACAGUUGAAAUUUGGUGUUAAUAAGCAUAGGAAAAAUAAAAAAAAUAAGUAAUUAAAUAGACUUGAUUUUUUAUCAUCUCGGUCCAUCUCAUUAUCUUUGUUCUUUAUUGAUUUUUUUAUUAAAUAAACUCGACUUUGAUCAUUAUUUUUAAUCACAUCAUAAAGUUAUAAAAUUUUUGAAAAUAAGAUUUGUAAAUUUUGAAUUUUAAACUUUCAAAAUAUAUUUUUUGAAUUUUGAAUUAUAUAUAAUAUUUUAAAAAUAAUGAUAAAAAUUGAGUUCAUUAAUUUGACGAAAAAAAUCAAACAGAUAUAAAUAAAACGAGAUGGGGAUAGCAUGUAUUUGUAAUAAAAUUAGGCUCCCGUUGAUGAGUACUUUUACUUCCUUUUCCUUUUUCUAUUGCAAAAAAUGAAUAAAAAGGAAAAGGCAAAAUAAAUAUAUAAAAAAAGAUAAAAGUAUUAAACUGGCACGGAAUCUAAGUGCAUGUAGAAAUAAUCGAAUCCCUUCUUAUAAUUCUUAUUAUAAGCAUUACCUGGUAAAAUUUUCUUCCAUCAAUGAGAAAUUACUUCAUUUUAAAUGCUUUAUGUGAACUUGCUGCCAAGCUAUGCUACCAUGGCCAGAUCUUAUAGGUUGAAGUAACAAUCAAACUCUCAAUAUGUCAAUAAAUCACUUGGAACCUUCAUAAUAAAAGUGUACUUGGCUUGUAUAGGAAAAUUAAAGUUUUAUUUCCCAGGUCUUGAUUUAAAAAUCAAAAAUAAAAACAAGAAAUAGAAGAAUUUCAGGCUUGUUCUUUUACUUAUUGUACAUACAAACAGCAACAUAACAUUGAUUGAGUAAAUUAUUGAAAGCAAGUGAUCCCUUCCCUUGACAAGUCCAUGAAGCCAACAUCUUGACCAACGAUAAGCACAAUAAUUUCAACUACCCGUUUUUCUUUUUUUUUAUAUAUAUAUAUAAAUAAUAAAGGUUAGCACAAAUGAACCACCAAAACUUGAUUAGGACUAGGCAAACAAGUGAAAGAAAUGAAAAUGGAAAGUAGCCUUUGUUUUACCUGUGUUUAGUUGACGGCCCCAAAAUACUCCUUGAUAUUUAAACAUGCCUUUGGAACUUCUCCUACAAUCAUCUCAUAGUUCUUCCUUGUAAGGUGGUAGAUGAUCACCCGGACGCUGCCGGCGCCAAUCUAUGGUCUUGGUGUGGACUACAUUCUGAUCAGUGACAGAUUCUUCGGUGGUAUCUUGCUCAACCAGUUGCGGUGUCUUUUUAAUAAUUGAAACAGUAAAAUGUCAAACAAAAGUAUUAAUGUUACAUGUUAUAAGGGUAAAAGAAAAACUAGACAUUAUAAUUUAUAAGCAUUUUAAGUCAAAAAUUUAUUAAAGGUGACGGAAAGUGAUAUUCUAGACCAACAAUCAUUUAAGUAAUUUUUUUUAAAGUAUUUUAAGUAAUUUAAGUAAAGACUUUGAAGAUUAUGUCUUAUAAUAUUAUUAAAGACUUGAAUUGCCUUUGCACACACCAAAUAAAAGCUUCUAUUUAAUGCAGUAAUCAAUAGUAAAAGCUCUUAAUCAUCAUUAACAAUUAUGUUGGGAGGAUUUGGAGAAUGAAGAAGGUAUUUACAGUUUUUGUGAAUAAUAUUCUUGCAAGAGUCCAUUAUUGAAGAUGGCUUCAAAGGAUUUCUUAUCAAUUUGGAAAGGUUGUCAAUACAUUUAUAGGGAGAAAUAAAAGCAAAUAUGGUAAGAGGCAUCCAUUUAUCAUAUUUGGAUCUUUUAAUAAAGCUAGAAGAGCAGGCCAAAAUUUAAAUGGAGCCUGACUUCUUAACCAAAGGCUAGAGGAACCAAAAAGGAAGCUUCUUAUGGACCUAGUACUAACGACAAUGGGAAAGAAACCUGCAGUGGGAUUUUGAGACAAAACUCGACCUUAUUCACUAAGCCAUCUUAUGCUCUGGUAUUGAAGGGUGCUUUUGAAAGUGGUGGAGCUUCAAAUGAAGAGAGAGGAGAUGAUCUUCAAUGUCCUAAAAAGCAUGGAAAACAUGCUUUGUUUGAAGAGAAGUGUUGUGGUAACAACAUAAUGUAAUUCAGAUUCAGCAAAUUUAAUGGCAUUAUUUAAAAUGCAAGGCAUUUCAGGGCUGCUUGAGGAGUUUGUCUAACAAAGAAUUUCUGCUAAACUUUAAGGAUAAGGAGCUGUUUGAAGAGUUCAAAGAUAAAGGUUGGGAUUGGCUUAACAAAUGGUUUACUAAGGUGGAAACAUGGUUAGAGAAUUUUUCAUCAAAACUCCUUAGCAAGUGGUUUAUUGUACAGGGCAUCCUUUAGAUGUGUGAAAUAGGCAUAUUGUAAUUUAUAAGCAUUUUAGGCCAAAUUCAUUAAAAGUGAUAUUCUAGACUAAGUUUUGGUUGUAGUGUCACACACAAUCAUUUAAGUAAGUUAAGUAAAGACUUUGAGGAUUAUGCCUUAAAAUAAAAAAGAUUAAAGUUUUUAGGGUGUAUACCUCUAUUUUGGCGUGCACAUAUUCCUCUGAAUCUAUGAAGAAGCCUGUAGUCAUCUUGGGACAUUCUCUUACUUUCAAAGAAAUCAAAGCCGAUAAUACAAAGUGAUAUCCUCUCGGGCAGAAGUCAAUGAGGCUUGGCAGUUCUUUAAGUGAUAAAUAUUUUAAUUGAUCAAACUUUAUUUCUUUUUCAGUUAUCACUUCUACUUCAUCUUCAAGUUCAAACAGUUGCUCCAAUUUAGAGUUCCCUUUAACUGUUAACUUUUCAAGUUUUGGAAGACAACAAGCAGAUCCAAGGGGAAAGAGACAUCUUAGCCUCUUGCAAUCAAUCACCUUUAGAAUUGUAAGGUUUUUGAGAGUAACAACUUGAGUGACAUCCUUCCAUAUAAUACACACUUCAGAUAAAUCCAACAGGUAGAGUUCCCUUAUAUGCCCAUGAACAUGGAAUACCUCUUCAUGACUCCCAACUGCUAUGUAGUCUUGACUGCAAUUGGCAGAAACACGCAAUUGACAACUAUUUCCCAACUUAGACAGAAGUAAUUCCUGCAAAUAUAGACACCACUAAAUGUCACAAGUACAUUCAUUUUCUAUUAGAAUGGGAAUAGUUGAGCAAAUGCUACUAAUAAUUUUUCAUAAUUUUAUAUGCCACUUCACAAAAAAUCCUUACAAUUUUAACGGCAGCACAUAUAUAUGUUUCAAAAUUUAAAUCCAAAAGUUUCAUGAAAUUGUUUGAAAGUAGAAUCCAAAGACACCUAACCCUUUCAAGUUUUUCUCUGUUAAUUUUGAACUUAAAACCAUUUAUGGUUUUCCUUUUCGUUUGUAUUUUUCUUUGUCAUUUUGUCUUGAACAAUGUUGAUUUGAAAAGUAAACACAAAGUGAUAAAGUGUCAAUUUGUUUUUGUAAUUUUCCUUAAUUAUAUAUAACAACACAAAAGAAAUCCACCCCCCCCGCCCCCCCAAACGGAAAGCCUAAAUCUCUCAAUCUCUUUCUCUUGUCUGAAACUUGAAUUGAAGAAAGUAGAAACACCUUCAAUAAAAAAAAAAGGAACUCAUGGCCAAGAAGAAAAAGAAAACUUAAAUUGCAGAAGAAAGAGAAAAUGGAAUCGAAGAAGGAAAAGGAAGCUCGAACAAGAAAAAAGGAAUUGCUAGGAUGUCAUCGUGAAAAAAAUAUAUGAUGAAUUUGAAGUCAGAAACAAGGACAAGGAAAACCCAAAGAUCCCCAGGUUACCCACAAAUAAUAUUUAUUUUUCAAAAUAGAUAGUAUAAAAUUUUUGAAUUGUAACUUUAAAAUGUAGUUGGAUUAGUUUAUGAGUGUUGAAAAGAUUUGGUUCAAAGGUAAAAUCUAAAACUAUAAUUGAAGGAAAAGUGUAUAAAAGAUACCUUUAGUAGAACCUGCUCGUUAACUUCUUUUUGAAUUGUGAAAUUUGUCAAUUUAGGACAGUUCCAAACACCCAACUUCUCCAAGGAUGGUGAUGAGAUGAGAAAGUUUUCCGAGCAAAAGCAACUCAAAUUUAUCAAGUUUACAAGUAGUAAAUCUUGUAGGGAAGGGAGUGCAAUGGCACAAUCAACUCCAUUCUUUUCUUUUGCCACAUGGAAGACUUGUUGUAACUGAGGAGAAUUGCUUAUCCAAAAUGAUUUCAAUCGUGGAAGAACUUGAGCCAAAGGAAUUUGAAAAAUAUUUUCCAAUAUUGGACAAUGACUUAUUCGUAGAGUUUCCAAUUUUGGCAAAAACGACGAAUGGAGAUGGGUAUUUGUUUCUAUUUCAUCAUCACAGUCCAACUCGGUGAUAAUGUGUUGCAAUCCAUCACAAUGAUCUAUCUGGAGUUGUUCAAGGAGCACCAAGCUUUGAGCAAGGGAUGGUGAAAAGAGAUGUUUCAAUCUAUUGCAGUAACUAAUUUCGACAAACUUCAAGCUUUGGAGGCUGACAAAACAGGUGGACCCUUUCCAUAUCCACUUCAAUUCUGGUAAUAAUUUUAGCUCCAUCAGUGUUAAAUUUGACAACAGCGAUCCUUGAUUUUCUUUCGUAUCAUGAAGAAACUCAUCUAUUUGAAAUACUUCUUGCAACUGGCCACAGUUAAUAACUUUCACUUCCUCUAGAUUUUGUAGCGCGGGAGAUAAAAAAGCCAUUUCCAUGCAAUUCCUUGCUUCCAACGUCUUUAGUUUUUGUAGAAACCCUUUUGGAAACCCACCGUUGCACAACAUUUUCAAACCAGUCAUUUGUUCUAUGAAUAAUUCCACCAAAUUAGAGAAGGCAUUGGAUGAGACAUGGCCUUGUGUUGUAUCAAUCAAGCAUUCCAGCUCCUCACCAUCUUUAAGUGUAAGAAAAGUUAAUUCAUUAAGCCCCUUUGGAUCUACAUUUGGAAUAAGAUUUUUCUGAUUCUUGACUCCAUCCAAGGUAAGAUUUUUGACAUUGUGUAAUAACUCCUUCAAUGCAUGCAAUUGAUCACUCUGAUAAAUUCACAACAAAAUGAAUAUUAGACAAAUAGAAAAUAGCAUAAAAUUUAAAAAUUGACACAAAAGAAAACUGUUUUAUCUUUUCAUUGAAAGCUCAUUAAAGUUGAAAAACACACCAAAGCUUGGAGUAUAAGUAAUAGUGUACAUGCUGAAAUUUAUUGGAUACAUGGAAAUAUGAUUUAGCAAUAAAGUACACGUGGCGUGCAUGCAAGGAAGGAAAAAAAAUAAAAAUUUUUAUUGCCACAUGCUUGUUUGCUUUUUGUUCAUUAAAUGCAUUAAAUUUUUUAUUUUAUCAUGCCACGUAUCUGCUAUUGCCACGUCAUAGUUUAACAUGUCCUAUAAAUGCUAGCGUGGCUAGGAGUUAAAAAUCCAUGGAUUCUAUCCUAAUAAGGAUGCUUGGACAAUGACAAAGAACACUUUAAGAGCUUAAUGAGAUGCAAUUAUAUGCUAAAUUAUCAUGCAGCACUCUCAAUCUUAUAAUAUGAAUGAAUUCUUUUUUUUUUUUAAUGACAAGUACGCUAAGUAAUUAAUGAAGGAAUUGGAGACAAAGUUGCUGAUGAUGAGAGUUUGAAUUUUUCUAAGGAUACAAGUGUGACUUAUCCUAAUUUUUAUAAAAUAAUGCUUUGUAAAAACCUUUCUUGAAUAAGAGUUUUCAUCUUUUUCCUAUUUUGUUAUUCAAAUCCUUUUCCCAUUUCAAGAAAGAUUCAGAAUCAACUAGCUAAUUAUUGUACGAAUGUGCUGUUCUUUCUUUUUAAUUCAUGAGUAUUGACUUUUAAUAUCCGUCAAAAUAAAGAGUAUAAUUUUUGAACAACAAGGAAAAGUGUAUAAAAGAAAUACCUCUACUUGAAUUUUCUCGUUAACUUCUUUUUGAAUGUUGAAAUUUGCCAAUUUAGGACAGUUCCAAACUUCCAACUUCUCCAAAGAUGGUGAUGAGAUGAGAAAGUUUUCUGAGGAAAAGCAACUCAAAUUUAUCAAGUUUACAAGUAGUAAAUCUUGUAGGCAAGGGAGUGCGAUGGCACAAUCAACUCCAUUCUUUUCUUUUGCCCCAUGGAAGACUUGUUGUAACUGAGGAGAAUCGGUUAUCCAAAAUGAUUUCAAUCGCGGAAGAACUUGAGCCAAAGGAAUUUGAAAAAUAUUUUCUAAUAUUGGACAAUGACUUAUUCUUAGAGUUUCCAAUUUUGGCAAGAACGAAAAAUGGAGAUGGGCAUUUGUUUCUAUUCCAUCAUCAUAGACCAACUCGGUGAUAAUGUGUUGCAGUCCAUCACAGUGAUCUAUCUUGAGUUGUUGUAGCAGUACCAAGCUUUGAGCAAGGGAUGGUGAGAAGAGAUGUUUCAAUCUAUUGCAGCAACUAAUUUCUACAAACUUCAAGCUUUGGAGGCUGACAAAACGGGUGGACCCUUUCCAUACCCAAUUCAAUUCUGGUAAUGAGUUUAGCUCCAUAAGUGUUAAAUUUGACAACAGCAGUCCUUGAUUUUCUUUCGUAUCAUGAAGAAACUCAUCUAUUUGAAAUACUUCUUGCAACUGGCUACAAUUAAUAACUUUCACUUCUUUUAGAUUUUGCAGCGCAGGAGAUAAAGAGACCAUUUCCAUGCAAUUCCUUGUUGUCAACUUCUCUAGUUUUUGUAGAAAGCCCUUUGGAAACUGACCGUUGCACAACAUUUUCAAACCAUUCAUUUCUUCUAUUACUAAUUCCACCAAAUUGAAGAAUGUAUUGGUUGAGACAUGGCCUUGUGUUGUAUCAAUCAAGCAUUCGAGCUCCUCGCCACCUUUAAGUGCAAGAAAAUUUAAUUCAUUAAGUCCCUUUUGAUCUACAUUUGGAACGAGAUUUUUUUGAUACAUGACUCCAUUCAAGGUAAGAUAUUUGACAUUCUGUAAUAACUCCUUCACUGCUUGCAAUGGAACGUCCUGAUAAAUUCACAACAAAAUGAAAGAUAUUAGAAAAAUAGAAAGGUAGAUAAUACUCCUUAAAUCAGAAUUGAUUUUUUUUUUCUAUGCAUAAAAUUUAAAAAUUGAGACAAAAGAAAACUGUUUUAUCUUUUCAUUUAAAGCUCAUUAAAGUUGAAAAACAUACCAAAGCUUGGAGUAUAAAUAGUGUAUAGUAUUCUUUUAUGUACAUAUUAAUGUACUAAAAGAAAGAUGUUUUUCUAUGAUCAGAUAAAUAAUCAAUUAAUAAUUAUCAAAAGUAAAAUUGAAACAAACGAAAAUAUAACAGAACUACCAUCAAUAGAGACCGCGACCAAAGUCCUUCGUGAAUAUGGAAACGAGUCAUUGAUCCGCGUGGGAGACCAAUACUGCAAGCUUGGAAUCCCUUCAAAGAUGGCAACAUGACAAAAUAGUUUCUGGGACAAAAGUUCCUGAAGUUUAGUAAGUAUUCAAGUCUUAAAGACUGUAAGCGAGGGAGCAGAAUAUCGUGCCCAUACUCUUCUUUUGCCAUGUUGAAGACAUGCAUUAGUUGAGGGCAAUCAAUUAUCUGAACUGAUUCCAAGUGCGGAAGUCCUUGAGCCAAAGUGAUGGGAAACACAUAUCUCAAGCUUUCGCAACUAGCUAUCACAAGAGAUUUUAAUUUUGGCCAGCACAGAAGAGAGCGAUCCUUGUUUGAAAUUAUCUCAUCACCAUUUUCUGCUUCGGUGAUUAAAUGUUCCAAAGAGUUGCUUCCCUUUAUCCAGAGUUCUUCCAGAUGCACCAAAGUUUGAGCAAGUGUAGCUAAAAAGAGAUACUCCAGUUUAGAACACGAGCAAAUUCUCAUAGUUUUAAGAUUCUGGAGGUUAACAAGAUGGGUGGGUUCUCUCCAUAUGCACCUCAAUUCUGGUAAGGACUCCAGCUCCAAACAAAUUAAAUUUGAGAGUGGGGGUGCCUGAUUUUCCUCACAUAAAACAUAUAUUAUCAAUAAAUAAUUAUUUAAAUAUGAAUUCGUUGUACUUGUUCAAAAAAGUACUUAAAUAUUAAAGGCAUACAUUUUAAAAAAUUUUAAAACGAAGUGUAAAAAGCCACAAUUUAGAAAGAUUACAACUGAUGUUUACUUAUAUAUUUGGUAAUUUAACAUAAAAAAACACAAUUAGAUAAAGAACAAAUAAUAGAAUUAUUAAAGGAAAAAUGGAGAGAUGAGGGGUACCUCCAACUCAGCCAUAUCUUGGGCAAAAGCAAAGACUUGCUCUAAUUUCUUGCAUGCAGAUAUCUUGAGUUGUUCAAGAUGCAACAAACUUUGAGCAAGGCAAGGUGAGAAGAUUGAUUUUAGUUUAUCACAACCAUCAACUUUUACAUCCUUCAGAUUUUGUAGGCUUACAAGAUGAGUUGGCUCUUUCCAUAUACUCUCUAAUGCUGGUAAUGACUGCAGCUCCAAGCUUCUUAAAUUUGAGAUCGACCACAUACAACCAUUCAUUUGAAACACUGAUUGCAACUGUCCACAAUCGCAAAUGAUCAAUGUUUCUAAGUGUUGUAAGAAGCUAUUCGGUAAUUGACCAUGGCAUAACUCUUUCAAAGAAGUCAUUUUACCAAUGUCUAAGUUCACCAAAUUAGAGAAUGCAGUGGCUGGACUCUGUUCUCGUGUUGUAUCGAUCAAGCAUUCCAAAUCAUCGCAAGAUGUAAGCUGAAGAGAAGUUAAUUCAUUUAGUCCCCACUGAUCUACAUUUGGAACAACAGUUUUGUGUUCCAUGAUAUUCUCCAGACUCAGCCUUUCCACAUUGCGAAACAGCUCCUUAAAUGCAUUUAAUGAGGAGGAAUCUCUAAUUCUCAAUAUUCUCGAGAUAAGCUUUCUCGGAAUUUCAAUGUAUCCAUUUACACCUAUAUUGUAGCUUUGUAGUUUAGGAAACACAAAGUUUUCUUGAAAACAUUGAUCAGUAGAAACUGUCAAUGUUAAUGCAGUCAAACGAGACAACGAAUUCAACUCCGAUAAGUUGGCAAUGGUAAAACUUAACAUGUGUAGCUCUUGGAGUGACGUUAACCUGUUACACACAAAUACACAAUAUUAUUAACACAAUAACAGCACUUUCAAGCAGACAAUGAAAUAGCUACUAUUAAACUACAGCUUGCAAUGUUUCAUAAUAAUCGGAGUGACUAAAAGCUCAUGAUAUAUAUACAUAUAUAUAUAUAUAUAUAUGUAUAUAGUAGUCAAAUUGAAAACAACAAAAGGAAAAAUAAAAUAACAUAAAAUUAAAUUUUUUUUUUACUCAGCCAAGAAAAAAAAGAGAUUUAUAUAUAGACAGCUUAAAUGUACAAAAUAAGAAGAAACAAGAACAACCGCUCAAAGCAAAAAACUUAAAAAGAAGCAACUUGAUAGCUUGGCUGGAGGCAAAAUCAACACUUCAUAUGAGAUGACAUGUUACGGGAUUGGUGUCAGUACACAAGAGACCAACAUAUCAAACAGUCUCAUAAAAAUCGACCAAGGCAAAGAUGAAUAUAUUGGCACAAUCAGAUUGCCAGCGGGAAACAAUAAAAUUAAAUACUUAAGUAAAAACAAUUAGAUAAUCAGUUUUAAUGACAUCUAAGUAUUACCUUGAUAUCAAGUUAGGGGGGACAUGUCUGUCUUCAUCUCCAACCCAAAAAAUAUAUAGUGACUUUAGUCUGCGCAACUCCACUAAUUCUUCAGGUAAUUCAUCAAUAUAAGUUCUAAUCAAAGACAAAGACUCAAGAUUUUCUAGAUUUCUCAACGAUGAAAUGUUCUCAACGUCACACCUCAUAAUGCACAGAGUUCGCAGAUUUGUUAGGAAUUGAAGUGCUUCCAUUGAGAAUACAACACGUUGAAGAAAUAAAACUCGGAGGGUUUUCAUUCCUUCAAAAAAUUUACUCGGAACUCUUAGGUAAUCUUCUCCCGUUAAAAACAAAGUCUUGAGUUUUGAAAAUUCUAAUUUAUCGGGAAAAUUAACUAUCUUAAUAUUCCAUAAGGAGAUUGUUGUGUAACAACCAAAAAUUUCACUCUUAGGCCAUUCCGUCAGCUCAUUUUUUACCAUGAACAUAUUUUCCCCUCUUGAUGUUAUCCAAUGAGCAAAAUCACGAACCACAUCAUGCAUUUUUACAUAGAAUUCAUCGUCAGUUUCCAAUAACAAACCAAACUUUUGGAGCUUUGAUAGUGCUAGAUGAAUUUCCCUCCUUAUUUCUUCAAUUAAGUUAAUAUGACAAAACAGUCCCUGACCAAUUCCGAAUUCAGUCAACAACUCAACAUUAAUAUCAUAAUCUUCUGGAAAAAGAGAACACAACAAGAAACAUGACUGAAUAUUUUCUUCCUUCAAAUAAUCAUAACUAAGCUUAAGGCAGCUAUAGAUACCUCCACAAACAUCUUGAUUAUCCAAAUGUCUUGACUCCUUAAGUCGUUGAUUUGCUGCUAUCCACCCAUUUAGACUUUCACGUUUUAGAGCUUUCGCCAUAGUUACAAUUGCAAGAGGCAAACCCUUAGCUUCACGAGCAACCUCCUUGGCUACAUCAUUCAAGGUGGGAGAGGCAUCUUUUAGACCAGCAUUAUCUUUGAAUAAAGCCCAUGCCUCAUCUUCAGACAGAAUGUUCAGUUUAAAUUCUUCUUGACAAUUCAUUUGACUACAGACUUGUCGAAGACGUGUAGUUAGAAGAAUUUUGCAACCAGGGUGUUUGUCACCAGAUGGAAUUCCUAUAUUUCGCAAUUCAAACUGUUCCCAAACAUCAUCGAGAAUAAUGAGAAUCUUCUUCUCGCCUUUUAAUCUCUUGAAUAACUCUUCUGCUUUUCCUUCUUCUGUACUUGCAUUAAAUUUUAAACCCAAGAUUUCAGAAAUUCUAUGUUGAAUUUUGUUGAUGUCUGGAUUUUGAGACACCCCCCUAACAAUCACAACUUUAUCAAAGAGCUUUUCUUCCGUAGCUUGCUUCCCCACUACUUCCGCCAAAGUUGUUUUACCCACUCCUGGCAUUCCGUGCAAUCCAAUCACGUUCACACCAUCACCUUUUAAAGCCUUCAUGAUCCCAUUGAAAGCUAACGUUGAAGAUUCGGAACGCAUGAAAUCCUUGGGUAGUAGGAACUCUAUUCCUUGAAGAGGAGGGCGCUGGCCGACUAGUGGAAAGUUACAGGUCUCUAAAAGUUUAGAGAUACAAAGAUUCUUCUUCGCGACUUUCUUACUUAAGCAAUAUCGCCAACCCCAACUAGGACACCAAUUGAAACACUUGUUACGCUCUAUUUCUUCUUCCAAACUCUGAGCUUCUCCCAAUUCUUUAUCUGCCUUUGUUAGCCACUCCUCAACGCCCUUCUUAAUUACCUCAGUUUGCCUUAAAGCCUCAUCGACAGCAUCUUUCAACUCAUCUCUUUUUGAUUCAAGUUCAUUUCGCCGGUUCUUGAAAUCUUCAACAAUUUCGCCAAAACGGAAAAAGUAACGGAGAUAAGGUGAUGCGUAUUCUGUUGCUAAGUUCCCCGCGGUACCGCUAAUAGCAGCGCAAACACAUUCAAGAAACAUUCUUUGAUGAUCUGAGGCUGAAAAACAAUUUGGAUGAGUAAAAUGUUUUACAGAGAGACAAAAAGUAAUUACGAAAUGUUCACAAAAUAUCUCGCCUUUGCAGCAAUACUUUUAUAAAAUAUGUGAAUCACAAGAGAACAAAUUGUCCGCCGACUAACUUGGAAAUUGAAAAUGCUGCACAAGUAGAAAUUAUUCACUGGUCAUGUGUAUAGUAAUUAGAAAUAUAUCUUACAUGUUAGAGUAAAAUCAUAGUAUUAUGAUUCUAUAAAAUACUUUCUCAAAAUUUAAAAUAUCUAUUUAUUUCAGUUUUUUCCUAAUAGCUACAGCUUUUGUGUAACCAUGCAUGCUCGUCAUGGGCAAGGAAAGAAGUAAAGUGCAAAAUUAUUAUUUUUAUUUUCCAAGUGAAGAACUCAAGAAGUCAAAUGCAUAAGUGACAAGAGAAAUAAAAAGCAUAGCAAAAAUUAUAUAUGGACAAUAUAAUAUGUAUUGUUGAAGCUUACCUCACUUCGAAAGGAUCUUCUAACGCUGCAUGGAUUUUUUCUUCACCAACUCCGGAGAUCGGGAAAGUAAAAUUAAGGACUUCUUUUCUGGAUAGAAAGCAGAGAAAUCCAAAUACUAGAGGUAGCAGCUUUGGGUUUUUUUUUUUUUUUUGGCCUUUGUGGAGCUGAGGAAAGGAAACGUAGGGAUCAAAGAACAGUUUUUGUUUUUUAUUUUUCUGAGUUAAAAGAAAAUGAGGAAAGUAGAAACCAAUGGAAAAAACGAACAGAGAUUUUUUUUUUUUUUGAGUUGAAAGAAAAUGAGGAAAGCAGAAACCAAUGACAAUAAACCAACAGAGAUGCUUUUCUGUUUUUGAGUUGAAAAAUUGAGUGGAAAAAUCAAGGAAAAUGAAAUGGAAAAUUAAGGCAGAAAUCAAACAAAAUCUUUGGGAUAGUGCAGCUCACAGAUGUGGAGAUGGUAGAAGAAGAAGCUUGAAUGGAAACUCUAUGAAGACGAAGUAGUGAGAGUAGGUAUAGGAACUUUGGAACACUAAUAUUCAAAUUAGGAACAACGGAAAAAAAUUAGCAACUUGGCUUACACUUCCCAUGUAAGAUUCUCUUUUCUUUGAUAUGCGAGAGCUAAUGCUAUACAUUGAGAAAGUUAAUUUGUUUUAUUUAUCGUUUUUCAGUUGGCUUUUCCAUAGUUUGUCCCCCUUUUGUUUUUUCUUCCCUGGUUGUGGGUGGUGCUCGAGACACAAAUGUUUAUUGCUCCCUCUAGCUAAAAGCUCUUUGGCCAGCAUGUGCAAUCAACAUUAUUAUAUAAUGUUUAUAGAUUUGAGGAUUUUUGUUUACCACUAGAGACAGUUGCAUGUGAACGAAUUAGAUAUUCUAUUCAAAUUUUAAUUGGGAAUCAGUAAAAUUUCAUUAAUAAAAAAAUUAUUUGGUGAUUAAGUUUAUUUAAAGGAUAAAUAUAGUUAAUGAUUAAGAGUUUUUAAUGGAUAGGAAUUCAUGGUGACAAAGUAAUAUGGUUUUAUAAAUAUGGAAUGUGUCUUAACUUUUAAAAUUAAGAUAGAGAUGAGAUCUUUAUAUGAUCUUAUGUAAAAGAUAAUUUUUUUUAAAUGGAGUUUUUUGUAAAAACUUCACAGAAUUAUAGAGAUGUGAGAAGGAGCACGAGAAAUACAAGAAAGAGUAGGGGAAACGCAGUUUGCAUGGGAUCGAAAGUAUUUUAUGAGUUGAAACAAUAGGGAGCACAGAAACUGGAUUUGUUUCGAAGCUUAAGUUUAGUAUUUGUUUUUAUUUGUACUUUUUGUAAUCUCUAUGCCUAUAAUGAAUUUUUCUGAAUGCAUAUUAAAUAUUAUCUCUUAUAUGUGCUUUAUAAAUUAAAUUUUCAUUUGUAAUUUAUUUACUUAACUUACAAAAUAUAUAGUAUAAAAAGGAGGGUUUUUCUUUCUAGUUUUUUAGUGAUAUAUUACCUUGGACUCCGCACCUGGUCUUUAAGCUCAUGUGGUUAAAGCUCAGCAGAGUAAUAAGAUUUGGUCAUUAUCUUGGGCUUUACGUUGACCCAACCAGAGCAAUCUACUCUCAUUUUAAGGAAAGGAAGUACUUAUUGUAAACCUUGAACUAGUGGGAGUAAUUGUUUAUAUACCUUUCUCUCUUCCAAAACGUUGGUCCUAUCCUUUUAUUUCGAAUUUUUUCAUUUUUUAGUUAAUUUUCUUUUAAAAAAUUAUAUUCUGUGGAGGGAGGACAUGAGCCCGUAGUGAAAAUGUAUUUGUAUUAUCAAAAUCAAAUAAAAACUAAAAGAAAUAUCAUCAAAAACAGGGGUCAAAGCCUUGUACCCUUUCUAUACUUUUAUCACUUCGCUUUUUCCGUUAUAUUUGGUCUUUGAGGUGAUGGCCUUGGAGUAGUAAUGUAUUCUUCCAACAAUUACUAGUCAUUUUACAAUAAUAGGAAAUUUUUUAGUAAAAUAUUUAUAUAAUAUAUUGCCCUGUUUAAAUUGUGUAGGCCUCAAUAAGUUAAAUUUUGAGCUGAUUAAAUUAUCGAAAAUUAUCCAAUAAACUGUCAUGGAGUUUGAAAACUUUAUCAAUGGAAUUAGGAGGUUGCAACAUAUUCAUUCGGAUAUAUUUGAAAAAAUAAAUAAAUUAAUCUGAUAAAUAAAAGGAUAUUAAUUUGACAAUAUUUUAAUUUUACUAACAAAGUUAAAAUCUCACCGAGGAUGCAUAGAUUAAUAGUCCUUAAAAUAAUCCCUUUGUUUUUACAAUUGAGGGACAUUGAUCGUUACAUGCAUUAGUAGUGGAGAUUUGUUGCCUUUUCCUUAAAAGAUCAUUACAUUUUUUGCUUAAUUGCAUGCUUGUGUUCGGCUUAUAUAUAUAGGCUUUCAUUAGUGCUUGUUGAAUUAUGGCAGUGAAGUGUUUAGUAGAGUUGAUAUGAAUGAAGUGACUAUCCAGAGAUAUUGCAUCGUAUCGUUUUCUGCUUAUUGGGUUCCAUUGCUUGGAGCAUUUCUGCAGUUUCUGCGUACUUAUUUGCUACAACUUGAAAGAAAUGAGCAUGGCAAGAUUGUAUACAAAUUUGCCUAUGACUUCAAAUUUAGUUCGGCUUGAUCAACAAAAGAGGAAAAUUUCAGUUGAGAUUUUAGCAUUUUGGUUACUGAAUGAGUGACUCUAGGAAGAUGGAUAACGUUCAUGCAUGCUUGCGAAGCUCGUUUGGUAAUAUAUAGCACAAAAAGCAUAGUGAACCCAACUUCGAAACACAUGGAUGCCAUCUAUUUUUCUAACAACAGCCGUGGCAAGCGUGAGCAUACCAAUUCUAAGUUCUAACAUUGGGUUUAGACCACUUUAUCAAAUUUCAAAGCCUUUCUUUAGUGCUUUUUUCCCCUGGAUUUCUUGGUAGAAUUAACUGGUGCCGUAAAAGAGGGCCAUGUUGGGGAUGGCAGGGGACGGAUUAGUGUAAUUUUUUUAUAUUUAUAAUUGAAACAAAUUAGAGGAAUGCAGAUUAGGGGACAGUAGAUUAUGGAAACGGUGGAAGACAUUUCAGCAGGUGGAUUCUUUAAAGGAGGUGAUAGGCAGUGUAUUAUUCUGUGAGUGCUGAUUUUUUGGCAAAGGAAGGUGCAAGGAGAGAAAGUUUUUAUUGGAUAUUGUCAUUACCUUGAGAUUUACAUUGAGCCAGUGGGAUUAAUUAUUAUUAUUAUUUUUUUGUUUUUAAGAAAAAGAACCACUUUUUGUAAACCGUGAACUAAUGGAGGCAAUUGGUUUUAUAUACAUAUUGCUCUUGCAAAACAUUGUAAUUUAGAAAUUUAGAAGUAGAGGUAUACGUUGAUCCCUUCAUUAAUUCGACAACUUCCAUAUAAAACAAAAGCUCAGCAGAUGAAGACGAAGCUAGCAGCUAGCUUGGAGGGAAGUGUGUAAGGCACUAAGCAGCUAGCAGUACAAUUCCUGGCCUCAGUCAUGGUUCACUUUUUGCCUAUGGAGACGCAAUCUCUUUUUAUAAUCAAUUUGUUUUCAUUUGACACUCUGUUUAAGAUGUAGUAGCUCAAUCUCAGCCAUAUACACGAAUAAAAUAAAACGACGGUAUUUACUUGGUUAAUUGGUUGUUAGCCAACUUGAUGGAAAUCUAGUAAUUAAAAGCCAAAGGAAAAUAUCAUCAAAAUCAGGGGCCAAAGCCUUUCGCCUUUUUUAUAGUUGAUGCUCCUUCCAGCUUUUACCACAUUGCUUUUUCCUUUACACUUGGUCUUUGAGGUGAUAGCCUUGGAAUAGUAAUGAGAACCACCCAAAACCAAUUAAAGUAGAUGAUAGAUGAAAGAAAGAAAUGAGAAUACUUGUUAAUUUGCUACUAAGUAGCAGCAGCUAGUCAAAUUCAGAUUUAUGCAUUAACAUAGUUUCACCUUCUUGUUAAAAUUUAUUCUGAUUCUUCUGAUGUAGCUUUAUUUACCCAGCAGCGAGCCUUCAAAAUCAAACAAAGUGGGACAUGAAGAACAAAAAUUAGCUUGGGACAAUCUUCAACCGAAGAAGUCAAAUUUGGAAAUACAAGAUGGUAACAUUAUAUAAUAAUUGAGGGAGCACUAUUUGCUUCUCUUUCUGGGUACUUACUUCUUCAUCUGCAAUUCCAAAUAGUUGCUCUAGUUCAGAAGAUCCUUCGACUGUGAUUAUUUCUAGUUUUGGCAGAGCAACAUUAACCGGAAACAGACUUUUCAUUUUAUUUCAGUAACCAACACAAAAUCGAUUCUUUCAACAACCCCAACCCCCGCAUAAGCCAGAAUUUCAAUUUCAUUACUUUUGGAAAUGAGAAAAACAAGAAACUGAGUGCGUACUGGUAAUAUUCACAGUCAAACGUAUUGCAUAUUUCAUCUGAUGGUAAAGGUUGUUGCAUCAUAUUUGAUAAACAAAGAGGAGAUAUUCGGGAUUUUUUUUUCUUAAUUUUAAUUUGGGCAUUGAAAUUUUAUUAAAGAGUGUUAGGCCUUGAAAAAGGGGAAGAUGUUUUUGGCAUAGAAACUUCAAGGACUUUAUAUUUUUCUUCUUCCAAUUGCCAUUGGUUUGUAAGCAAAGAUGGGAGUAAGGAAUGCAGUUGCCAAAUCUAACAAGUUUGUUUCACAAUUGAGGGGCUAUGUGAUCUGAUGUCUCAGGGUGAAGAUUUGUUACUUUUUCUCCCAGCGUUUUACAAGCAUGGAAAACCAUGGGGAAAUUUGUUGAUGUCUGACUCAGACAUGCAAGUAGACAUUACAAAUCAACUAAACAUUGUAAAAGAGAAGCAAAGAUCAACCAGCUGCAAGUCAACUAAACACAGAGAAAAACCAUGUUGCUCACAGUCCUUUCCCAAGUCAGAGAGGUAUAACUCCUGCAAAGACAUAAAUAUAUCAUAAUUUCAUUAGAAAUUGAAUAGAUUACAAAGGGCCAAGACACUGUUGCCUAAAUAUUGGAAGAGAAAAAUGUCUUGAAUCCCAAAGAAAGAACAUAUAUCACUCUAUGCAUCUAAUUAAUCAUAACUCAAGCAAUUACUUUAAUAUACGAUUGAUUAUAAGUGUACGUUAAUAAACUCAGUUACAAAGAUCAAUUAACAUAUGACCUCAAAAGUACAAAGCUUUCAUAUUAUUUCAAAAAAAUUUAGAUAAGCUCAUAUCUUUUUAUUGUAUUUAAUUAAAUUUUUUAAAUAUUAAUUUUCAAUAUCCAAACCUUUUUUUUUUUGGAUAAAACCCAUAGAUGAUGGUUAAUCCUUUAACAUGCGAUAAUAACUCCGUCACUGCAUGCAAUUGAACUUCCUAAUAAAUUCACAACAAAAUGGAAGAUACUAGAAAAAUUGGAAAGGUAGAUAAUACACCUUAAAUCAGAAUUGAAAUAUUUUUAUAUGUGUAAAAAUUAGAGAUUUGGGCCAAAAGAAAAUUUUGUACCUUUUCUUUAAAGCUUAUUAAAGUAGAAAAAUAAACUAAAGUUUGGAGUAUAAAUAGUGUAUAGUAUAUAUACAGGUAAAUGUCAAUGUAAUAAAAGUUUUCGAUGGGAAAGAUGUUUUCUUAUGAAAUAAACAAUCAACUAAUAAGUAUCAAAAGAAACAUUGGAACAAAUGAAAAUAUAACAAAAUUACCUUCAACUGAGACUGCGACGUAAGUCUUUGUGGAUCUUGGGAAUGAGUCAUUAAUUGGGGUUGGGGACUAAUAUUGCAAGGGUCAAAAUCUUUCGAAGAUGGUAACAUGGCAGAAUAAUUUCUUGGACAAAAGCUCCUCAAGUUUUUCAAGUUUUCAAGUGUUUAAAUCUGUUAUUGAGGGAGCACAAUACGGUGCCCAUCCUUUUCUUUUCCCAUGUUGGAGACAUGCAUUAAUUGAGGGCAAUCAAUUAUCUGAACCGAUUCCAAGUACGGAAGUCCUUGAGCCAAAGUGAUUGGAAACACAUAUUUCAAGCUUUUGCAACUAGCUGUCUGAAGAGAUUUCAAUCUUGGCCAGCAUAGAGAAUAGCAAUCCAUAAUUGAAACUAUUUCAUCCCCAUUUUCUGUUUCUAUGAUUAAAUGCUCUAAAGAGUCGGUUUUCUCUAUAUGGAGUUCUUCCAGAUGCUUCAUAGAUUGAGUAAGGGCAGGCAAAAAGAGAUAUACAAGCUUAGAACAUGACCAAAUUCUCAUAGUCGUUAAGACUUCGGAGAUUAACAAAAUGGGCAGAUCCUCUCCAUAUGCAUCUCAAUUUUGGUAAUGACUCAAGCUCCAAACAAGUUAAAUUUGAUAGUACUUGUGCCUCAUUUUCCUCACAUAAAGAAUAACACAUAAAAGUUGAGAGAUAUAAAGCGUCUUCUUUGCAUCUUUGAUACUUAUGCAGUAUCGCCAGCCCCAACUAGGACACCAAUUGAAAUACUUGUUACGCUCUAUUUCUUCUUCCAAACUCUGAGCUUCUCCCAAUUCUAUCUCUGCCUUUGUUAGCCACUCCUUAACGUCCUUCUUAAUUACCUCAGUUUGCCUUACAGCCUCAUCGACAUCAUCUUGCACCUGAUCUUUUUUCGAUUGAAGUGCUUUUCGCUGCUUCUUGAAAUCUUCAACAAUUUUGGCAAAACAGAAAAAGAAAGUGAGAUAAGGUCAUGCUUAUUCUUUUGCCAGAUUCCCUACAGCAUGUAAAACUGCGGAUGGCAAUUGUAUUCAGCCUGCAACAACAUUGCCCGUAGACUAGAAAACUCAAUAUCACAGAGAAGGAAGGAAAGAUAUGGGAUGAAACAAGAAAGGGAACCAAAAUAAAAAAACAAAAAAGAGAUGAAGGAACCUGACCCUCUCAAAGAAAUAAAAACCACAACAUUGUACACCAGCCAAUGAAAACCCACAACCUUAAAACAUGUCGUAUCAAAGCAACACCUUAAGUGCCCUUGAAGAGUGGACCAGUUUCAAGCCACAGUAGAGCAACCACACCUCACUGCAAAAUACAAUAAAAAUAAAACACAUUAAGCACAACGUAUAUAAUGUCAGAAAAUGAUAAUGGCAGAUGUAGCGAGCAUAGACAAACUAGUCAUUUCAUUUGUUUUUUAUUAACCUUCCAUGCAAUUAAAGUAACAAAGGGUGGUCAAACAGAUUCAGCAUGCUUGCAUUCUUUCUGCUUUUGCUAAGAGCCAGGAAUAAUUAUGAAAAUAUGUAUAAUUCGUAAAAUCAUGUUUACCUGCUGUGGUUGUUGGUAAGCUUAUGGUUGCUGGUAAUUCCCAUAUCCAAGAUAGCCCCCAUAGGACAUGUUAGGAUCUUGGGGAGGAGGUGCAUAUCCAUAUGCUUCAAAUCCUUGAGCAUAUCCAUAAUAUCCACCAUUCCACUAGGCCUGAUCUGGUUGAGCCUGAAACUCCAACAGAUUUCCCUCUUAGUUUGUAGAAAUAUAUAUAGCAAGGUUUUAAUUACAAAAUACCAUGAUUUUAAAUACAAAACCUGAUUGCUUGAAGGACUACAUCCCCAUGAAAGUCAAAUGUUUCUUCCUCCUAAUACGAUGCCAUUCAAAACUGAUAAAGCUUGCUCUGCGUUAGUCCUGAAGUAUAUCAAAUUGCAGAAUAAAUUAAUAUAAUAUAAUAAUAUUUCACGCACUUAAAUAUUCGGAAGAAUUUACAGCUUACCUAUUAGCAUAUUGAACAAAACCACAACGCUUGUUAGCAGGAAUUUUUACAUGAACUACCUCACCCAGCUGGCUAAAUAUUUGUUUUAAUUGGUCUUCAGAAACACUAGGAUCCAAACCACCAACAAAUAUCUGCAUUUAAGCAUGUAAGAUUUCAGUCGACCACACCAUGAAAUAAGCAUAUUAAUAUAUAUAAAAAAGCUACCCACUGUGGUAUUAUUUGGAUCAUUCUCGCCAGGAUUUCCUUGAGUAUUUGGGUAAGAAGCUGCAAAUGACAAAUACAUGUAAACUACAAUAGAAUGAGAUGAUAAAAAAGCUCAUUGCUUCUCAAAACUCAAAUUAAACAUUGUUGAAAAAACCAAGCAUUAAGAUAAUACACUUAAAAAUACUAAAAAAGUUCUAAAAAAUUCCCUCCAUGGCAUGCAAAAGAACAAAAAUGUAAAACCACCAGCUAUACAUCACUCAAAAGUUACAAUUACAACCAUAAACCUCUUUGGGUUACAUCAAGGCUUACCAUUACCAGGGAAAGUGAAAAGUAUCAGACUAAAUGGAUUUCAAUAGUAGCCCAUAAAGAAAUCAUUAAUUACAUUACACUCAGGGAAUCGGUAAAGGUCCUAUUCUUUCAUUAACCUUUUACAAUAGCAUGAAAAGGAGAAAAAGGAAAAUUGAAAUCAGAGACUUAACUUUUCUCUGCACUUGACAUGAAAUAUUUCCUUUUGCUCCUUUCUUUCACACAUUUUUUGUAAGGGGGAGGGGAGGGAGGGAGGAAGCUGUCAGGGCUUAAAUAGAAUGAUUCACAACUUCAACUUCAAAGAUUAUGUUUUAGUAGAAAGAACCUAUCUGCUAAACUAAUUUCAGAAAUGCUUUAACAUUCUCUGCGUAGACAGAAACCUAUAGAGAUUAUAUUAGCAGCCACAAAAUGAUAAGAUGAAGAACAUAUUUAGAAAAUAAGGAAAUUCCUCUAAACUGAAGUGAUGCAAAACCUCAAAUGACAAGUAGAAAAAGAAUGCCUUGAAAAUGCAAUAUUAAUACUGGUAGAUUCAUACACAGCUAGGCCAUCACUAUUUAGGUUUUGGCAAUAAAGCAUGCACGAGUGAUCCACUUCCAUUGAGGUUAAAUCCAUUAACUGAAAAUGCCUUUAACUACAAGUCCCAGGUUUCUUUCCUGACUCAAUUUGUCCUCAUUUGUAACAGAGCAAUAGAAUGAGGACAAAGAAGUUACUAUAACGUUUAAAAGAAGCACAGAUAUAAAAUGCAAUAGAACAAAAAUUGCCCCAAGGCUCAAUAACAGAAUGGUGCAUGAUAACAUCCAUACCAACUUUACCCAUGGCUGCUUCACCUAGUUUUGAGCAUUACAGCUUGAAUUUAAAGGAAACAAAGAGAAGAGUGUAAACAUAUGCAAGUAUCAAAAGGGAACUUAUCUACGACGAACUUAGAAAAAAAAGGUUUCUGGAGUGGUAAAAGUAUCUAAAAAAAGAUUCAAAGGAAACAUGUUGGGAAAACUGAAACAACUUGUACUUGACUGGAAUACUUGAUAAGGAACUAGAAAAGUAAUUUACGAAUGUAGCACAAAUACUGCCACGAGAAAAUGAGGCUUACGAUAUAAACAAAGUAACUGACCUAAAAUGGGGCCACGCAUUAAAGUGGGAUCAUUUCAGCUGAUACCAGUUCCAGGCUCCCCAAAAUGAGAGCCUUUUUGGUGUCCUGCUUUAAGACAACAUGAGUUUUAAAUAAGUUUGUGAACGUUUUAAUAUAAUUAAACGUGCCCAAGUUUGCAAAGGCAAACUGAAAGGAAAUGACUUUGUAUAAAUUCUGCCGAUCUUCAAGUGCAUAACUGAAAGAAUUCAAAUUUUAAGGACACUGUAACAACUAACAAGUAACAACCUCGACUCAGAAAAUUAAAACCCAAAAACAAAAAUAGAAUAACCAACAAGCAUUCAACUUGUCAAGUCAAAGUUCUCUAAGAUAAAUCAUGGCAGAUAAAAACUAUAAAAAAACCAAGCAACCUUCAUGUUAGUUUGCCAAGAUCUAUUGAUGAGCAUGAAAAAUGCUCUGUAGAAAAGAGUAAAACCAGAAAACUAGAAGAAGAGAAAAACUGAUCAGGAAAUUGGAAGAAGAAAAACUAACUUCUCAUCGAGUCAAGAGUCUGUUACACCUAUUUAUACACAAGUCAUGCUGACAUCAAAGAAAGCCAAUCCUAAUUACAAAAUAAUUAAAUAUAUAAUCAGAUAUCUAUUUACACUUGGACACGUGUAUGUAUUUAACACUUCAUAUGAAAAUCAAGAUAAAUAAUGAAUUUAACAUAACCCGUUUGCUUAUUCCUAAUCAGCUUAGCUGAAGCCACCUAAACUAUCCCAAAAAAAUUAAACUUCCUUUAAUUACUUUUUACUGAUUUUAUUACUUAAGUAGUUAAGUUUAAAAGGAAAAGAAAGGAAAUUCAUUUAAAUAACAAAAGGGAAUAAUAUUUUGAUUUAUUAAAAUGUAUAUAAAACUGUGAAUUUUAUUGGACUAUAUUUGCUCCGUUUAAUUAAAUUUUAUUAUAUUUUUUUACUAUUUUACUAUUUACUUAGGCACUCUUAAAUCUUUUUUUUUUCUAAAAGCCCCUAAUUUUUUUUUCUAAAAUAAUAUAAUUAACUAAUUAAUUACCUCUCCAGUGUGAGCGAAGAUGUUGAUGAGGUAAUUCUCAUCCAUCCACUGCUAAAGAUCACCGAUCUAGAAGGAUCGAAUCUCACUGGAGCCGCAACGGCUGAAUCGGUGGAGUACUGCUGCAUCUGACCUAGCGGAGGAACGGGUUGUGGAGCCCAGUCGGAAGGUGGAGGAACCGGCUGACCCGCCUGUUGCUGCUGUUGUUGUUGUUGCAUCAUCAUCCACGGCUGCUAUUGCGGUUGCUGCUGGUACUGCUGGGUUUGAGACUGAUCAGCUGCCAUGGACUGCGGUGGAGCUACACCUCCUGCUGGGGGUUGUUGCAUCAUACUCGAUAGAUAGAUAGAUAGGGAAGAGAAUCGGGAGAUCUCAGAGAGGAGAGGAAACCCAAGUGGGGAAUUGAAAUUUUAUAAAGAGAGGAUUUUGUUUUAUUGACCAGAGGAUGCUUGUCGGGGUAACACGUGGAGAAUAGGAAUUACGUGGCAGUAAUGGGCUUUUGAUAGGGUAAAUCGAGUAUUCGGCUUGGUAUGGGCUAGAUUGGGCUGAGUUUGGGCUAAAAUUCUUUUUCUUUGUUAAUAAAAAACGUUUCUUAAGGAUGUAAUAAAAAAAGUUUUAAAAAAGAAUUUUUAUAGACAAUUGAAAUUUGGUGUUAAUAAGCAUAGCAAAAUUUUUUGAAAAUUAAGUAAUUAAAUGGAAUUGAAAUUUGAAAAUUAUUAAUAUAUUUUUAUGGUAUAAAAAUUAAUUAUUAUUUUAUUUUAUUCCCUUUAUAAAUUUUAUGACUUAUAAUUAUGAUGAUUUAGUAGAUGUCUGAUAAAUUAUUUCUUAAUCUAUUAAAUAGGAAAAUUUUUUUAUCAUUUCCCUUCGUCUCAUUAUCUUUGUUCUUUAUUGAUUUUUUUGUUAAAUAAACUCUGACUUUGAUCAUUAUUUUUAAAAACAUUGUAAAGUUAUAAAAUUUUGAAUUUUAAACAUUUAAAAUUUUUUUUUGAAUUUUUAAUUUUAUAUAGUAGUCGUUUAAUAUGGUAAGAAAAGUACAACAUGGUAAGAAAAGAAAUUAAAUUGAACUUAAUAAUUCUAAGUGCAUGCAGAAAUGGUCCAAUCCCUUUUUAUAAUUUUUAUUGUAAGCAUUACUUGGUAAAAUUUUCUUCUAUCAAUGAGUAAUUACUUCAUUUUAAAUGCUUUUUGCGAACUUGUUGCCUGGACUUUACUACCAUGGCCAGAUCUUAUAGGUUGGAGUACUAAUCAAACUCUCAAUAUUUCAAUAAAUCACUUAAAACCUUCAUAAAAUAAAAAUCUACUUGGCUUGUAUAGGGAAAUUAAAGUUUAAUUUCUGACGCAGGAGCGUCAAUGAUUGUAUUUUAUUAAAUUUAGUUUUUGCUAAUUUAGUUGAUUUAUGAUUUAUUUUCUUUAUUUUAUUUAAAUUAGGAUUCUUUUCUUAUUUUUAUUUUAAUACUUUUAAGAAUUAGUAUUUGAUUAGGAUAGUUAUGUUCUAUUUAGGAAUAGAACACCUAUUUUAUUUAAAUCUCUUAUUAAUUAUUCUAAUUGUAUUAGAUAACUAGGAGUAGAGUUUUAUUAGGAUUUGGGCCUAUAAUACUAUAAAUAGGACCCUUAGGCUUAGUUACGAGACAUUCAGAAUUGAGAGUUAAUAAAUAAUAUUUUCUUAAGCAGGAGUGCUUAUUUCUCUAGACUCUUUUAAAGGGUAAGAGGUUUUAAUAUCUUUGGCCUAGCCAACCAAAGUGGGAUUUUGGCUAUUUUUCACCUUAGUGGGGUUUUCAACCUUGCCAAGAUUGGUGAUUCACCUUAGUGGGGUUUUCAACCUCGCCACGAUUGGUGUUUUUCAUAACGCCUAGGUGUCUUUACAACGCCCCGGCGUCAAUUUCCCAUGUCUUGAUUUAAAAUAUAGAAAUAAGGAUAAGAAAUAGAAGAAUUUUAAGCUUAUUCUUCUACUAAUUGUGGAUGCAGUGAGAAACAUAACAUUGAUUAGGUAAAUUACUGAAAGCAAGUGAUCCCUUUGCUUGACAACUCUGUGAAGCCAACAUCUUGAUCAACCCAAAGCACAAUAAUUUCAACUACCUGUUUUUUUUUUUUUUUUGUUUAUGUAAAUAAUAAAGAUUAGCACAAGUAAACUACUAAAACUUGAUUAGGACUAGGCAAACAAGUGAGAGAAAUGAAAAUGGAAAGUAGCCUUUGAUCUACCUGUGUUUAGUUAAUGGCUCCAACAUACUCAUUGAUGUUUAAACAUGCCUUUGCAACUUCCCCUGCAAUCAUCUCAUAGUUCUUCCUUGUAAGGUGGUAGCUCACAAAGGCUCUUGCUCCGUCGAAUGGUCUUGGCGUCUUGCUUAACUGGUUGCGGUGUCUUUUUUAAACAAUUGAAACAAGGGAAUGUAAAACAAAAGUAUUAAUGUUACAUGUUAUGAGGGUAAAAGAAAAAAUAGACAUAUUAUAAUUUAUAAGCAUUUUAGGCCACAAAUUCAUUAAAAGUAAUGGAAUCAUUCACUAAAAGUGAUAUUCUAGAUCAAUCUUUUGGUUGCAGUGUACUACUCAAUCAUUUAAGUAAUUUUAGUAAAGACUUUGAAAAAUUAUGUAGUAUAAUAUUAUUAAAGACUAUAAUUGCCUUUGCACAUACUAAAUAAAAUCUUAAACUUAAUUCACAAAUCAACAAUAAAAACUCUUAAUCAUCAAUAACGAUUAUGUUGGGAGGAUAAGGAGAAUGAAUAAGGUAUUUUUAGUUUUUGUGAAUAAUAUUCUUGCAAAAGUCCAUGAAGAUGGCUUCAAAGGAUUUGGGAUCAAUUUGGAAAGGUUGUCAAUACAUUGUAGGGAGAAAUAAAAGCAAAUACAGCUAGAGGUAUCCUUUUAUCAUAUUUGGAUAUUUUAAUAAGGAUAGAAGAGCAGUCCAAAAUUUAAAUGGAGUCUGGCUUCUUAACCAAAGGCUAGAGGUCAAUAUAGCCAGCUAAGGAAGCCAUGAUUCAUUUUGAAGAAGGAAGCAAAAAGGAAGCUUCUGAUGCACCUAGUGUUAACCACAUUAGGAACGGAACCUGCAGUGGGAUUUUGAGACAACUUGGUUUUAUUCAUUAAGCCAUCUUAUGCUCUGUUAUUGAAAGGUGCUUUUGAAAGAGGUGGAGCUUCAAAUGAAGAGAGAGGAGAUGAUUUUCAAUGUCUGAAAAGCAUGGAAAACAUGCUUUGGUUGAAGAUAAGUGCUGUGGUAACAACGUAAUGUAAUUCAGAUCUAGCAAAUUUAAUGGAAUUAUUUAAAAUAGAGGGCAUUUCAGGGCUGCUUAUGAGGAGUUUGUCUCUCAAAGAAUUUCUGCUAACCUUUGAGGAUAAGGAGCUGUUGGAAGAGCUCAAGGAUAAAGGUUGGGAUUGGCUUAACAAAUGGUUUGCUAAGGUGGAAACAUAGUUAGAGAAUUUUUCAUCAAAACUCCUUAACAAGUGGGUGACUGCACAGGAUAUCCUUUUGAUGUGUGAAAUAGGCAUAUUAUAAAUUAUAAGCAUUUUAGGCCAAAUUCAUUAAAAGUGAUAUUCUAGACUAAGUUUUGGUUGUAGUGUCAUUCUCAAUCAUUUAAGUAAUUUAAAGACUUUGAA
This 48159-nucleotide long non-coding RNA is filed under the name Theobroma cacao (cacao). Its description in RNAcentral is "long non-coding RNA (TCAC_LNC004176)". The record is from RNAcentral. Lineage: Eukaryota; Viridiplantae; Streptophyta; Magnoliopsida; Malvales; Malvaceae.